AGGAGACGCGUGUGUUUAUUUACGGCAACUGGGGAAGAGAAAACGAACGCGGCUUUCCGCAUGUAACGGGUUACAUAUCAUUCUCAAACUGACACGUGGGCCCGCACUUCGGUGGGGCCCACUUUGUCAGCGUAAAACAAGUAAAAAUGUAUGGAGACCCCUCAACUGUAUGCUAAUUUUAAAUAACGUCCUCAACUUUUAUCUUUAAUUGUUCUUUAGAAUUAAAUGAUUUUAUUUUAUUAAAUUUAUUUACAAUAUUAUAUAUUUCAGAAAGUAAAAUAAGAUAUAUUUAGAUUAUAAAAUUUGAUAAAAUAUUUAACUUUAUAUAAGUGGAGGGGCUUGAGUAAUAAAAAAAGGACGGAAAUGAGGAGCCAAUUUCAAAUAUACUAUAGUUGAGGGGUCUCCAAGCGUUUUUACCUUCUUCGGCUGUGCAUGCGUGUGCUUAUCAUGGCAACGGGUGUAAAGAGAAACUGCUUGUAUCCAUUCAGUGCAACGGUGACAUAUCACUUAACUGCGCAACGUGGGUCCCACUAGUUCUAAGUGGGGCCCACUUGUCAGUAACCCGAUCUCGGCGAAGGGCAAAAGCGGAAUUUCACAUUUUAUAAUAAUGCAAUAAAGUUUCAGGAGCCGCACCAGUUCCUACAACGUGACAAACCAGACACGAUCCACUACAAUCGCGGUCGUACGAUUCUCCCGUCCGUACUACGUGUCUAAUUCUUAUUGGUUGCUAUUUUCAAACUCUCUUAAAUACAAUAAUAACACCUACUCACGGAGAGUUAUUGCAUACAACCGUUGCACCGUGCACCGUGCACCGUAUUCGAAAGUUUUAAUAAAAAUAUAAGAUAAAAACUUACAAAUCAUUUUGAAUUUGUUUGAUUUGAAUUAAUCAAUAAUAUUUUAAUUUCAAAUUUAAAAGUAUCAUUUAUUUUUAAAGGUUUAGUUAGUGUAAUUCAUGUAAUUUUUACAACUAUAAAUUUAUUAAAAUAAGUAAUUAGUUUAAAUUUUGGAGUAAACUAUAUAUUAUUGCCUAACUCGAAUUAAACAAAUCGAAAGAUAGAUAAUAAAAUUAAAAUUUUUGAAAGGUUUGUGGACGAUUCAAGAUAGUUCAUAGUUCAAAUAAGUUCUGUACGUUUUUAUCUAAAAAGUACUUAUUUAAAAAAAAAUAGUUUAUUAAACUUAUUUUUGUAGCUUUUAAAAGAUAUAUCUUUAAUAAAAAAAAAUUUAAAAUUUCGAUUUUCUCUUAUUAUGAAUUGAAUAAAUUUAAUAUUUAAUAUUUAAAUAAUAUAGUUUAACAAUAUAAAUUCUCUAUGUAUACUUUUCAUUUUUUAUUGGCUCAUGCAUAUAGUCCAAAAUACCAUGGCAUAUUGUUCAGAUACAUAACAUGACUCUUCUGUAAACAUCUUUUUGUCUUAUCAGGCAAAAUACUAUAUUAUGUACAUUACAAUAUUAAAUAUUUUUUUAAAAAAAUUUAAUUUUAUACAGAUCCUUAUAAAAAUAUCAAAAAAAAGAUAAAUCUUUACAAAACUCAAAUUAUUAGAUUUAUAUCCCUUCAAAAAUCUCCGACUUGCAAAUAUAUUCCUCCAAAAAUUCUGGUCCGUUUAUAUAUGUUCAUACCGUUUGAUUCACCGUUAAUUUUUUAAUAGUAGGUGCGUAUUAUAAAGUUGUUUACGCAAAAAGUUAUCUUUCUUUCUCUCUCUCCUCGACUUCGUCGCGGCACGUGCAGCGUAUCUUAUUUUUGCCACGACCGAGGGCCUCGUAUUCAGCGUAGCCGCCGACAUAGGUCCUGCCGUCGCCAUGGAUAAAGAGAUGAGAAUGAGAAAAAUGACGGAAUUCAAUAUUAGAAUACAAAUUAUAUAUGUAUAUGUGGGGUAACAAAGUCAUUUCGCUCUUUAGCUAACUGUGAUUAGCUUUUUUAACUCGUGAUUAUCUAAAUUUUGGUUACAGAAGGAUAUACCUGCAAACCAGAGAGCUUUUGGAGGGAUAAAUUGAUAACUUCAGUUAUGUAUAUUUAUUAUUUGAUACUUUUAUAAGGUGUCAUAUGCAAUUAUCCCUCUAUUAUCUGAUACUUGUCACUUGUGUAAAAUUUUUUGUGCCACCCACAAAUUAUGGGGCUUUCUAGGGGCCUUUGUGUAAAAACCCUUUGUUCUUUCUCUACAGUGCAAUUUGUACUAUCUACAUAGGGAGAGGAAUAGAAGAUAGAGUGGUGUUUUGAUUGAUGUGGUUAUGAUUGGGCUACACAAAGGUUCCAUUCACAUUUCACACUGUUGUUGAGUGACAUACAUGUAUCACAGUUACACCAAAGGGGUUACACCAUAGGGAACUCCAAUGUAUUAUGAUUGCAUGAUUUGAUUGAUUGAUUGGUUUUGAAGGUUUAGAUUGAUUGAUAGAUAGAUUGAGGGAGAGGUACCAAAUUGGUUAUUAUUAUUUAGGUUAGUUAAGUAUUUGGAAAAUGCUUUGCACAUAGGAGUUAAUGUUGACAAAACUAGUAUUAAUUUUGUCUCAAAUGUAGUGUAGUUGGAGAUACAUGGAGUUGGAAGUACAGCAGUUGUAACUACAUGCAUUCUGUUUGGUUGGAUAUAGUAGAAAGGCAUUGCAACUAUAAAUAAUUUGUUUGGUUUCAUAUAGUUGGGAAAUGAUUUUUAAAAUUUUAUUAUUUUGUAUAUAUGAUGGUGAGAUUAUCUCCAAUAUAAAAAAGAAAAAUAUUUUUUAUUUAAAAAAUAAUUAAGGAUGUAAGCAUAUAUUUUUGUUUAAAUUUACUUUUUGCAACUGCUGCUGUAGUCGGAACUAUGGUCAAUUUGGGCGUAGUUCAAACUGCUGCAAUUGUGCCUCCUUUUUGUAGUUUCUACUGCAAGAGUUUAAGUUAAAUAUAUCAAACCAAACAUCGAAUUUGCAUUUCUAUACAGUUACAACUGUCGUGCAGUUGUAAUUAUAUGCAAUCAAAUGGCACCUAAAAGACUCUAUAUUAGAUAUGCUAAUAUAUUAAUACUACUCAUUAGAUUUUUGCAAAAAUUAAUUGUUUCAUUACUUAUUAGUUGUUAAUUAUUAACAAAAAAUUUACACAUGCUUUGGCUCGAAAGUAGUUUGAGUUUGAACCACAAAAUUUGACUGGAUAGCCAAUUAAUUUAAUAAAUUUUGUUUUUUUUUUAAAAGUAGAGUGCUUAUUUCAAGAGUACUACUACACGCUAAUACGCUAUCAAUAACAUUUAAGCCGAAUUAAGAGUUUUUAGUCCUAUUAUAUCUUAUAUAUAGGACUAUCUGGGGGUCUCACAUUCUUCCCCCCUUAAGCCUUCCUAAACCGACCUUGUGGUGAGCCGCGCUCUACCCACAACAGUCAACAGUAUGGAAAACUCGCUCAGUUGAGACUCACGCUUAACUCUCUUAACUUCUUAGGCCUAGCCGCCGCCCAAAAUGCUUAACCCUGUUCAAGAGUUUUUAGCCUUAUUAUAUCUAAUAUGGACUACCUCGGGUCAAACAAGUAUGCUACCCGCUUAGUUUAUUAUUUUAGAAAACUUAGAUGGAAAUGUGAAUCAACUAGAAUUCGAACUUGGGAUCUCGGAUAUCAACCACCAAACUCUUUGCCACUUGUGUUGGAGAUAGUAGGUAUUUAUCUGCUAUUCUUAGAAGCACCCAAAUUGGAUUAUACAAUAUAUGCAUGCGAUCUAAAAUGCUAUACAAAUUUGUCAGCACAUCAACGUUGGUGAAAAAUCCUUUGACAGUAAAGUGUUAGCAUUAUAUAUAAAUUUAACUGCUCUUAUUCCUAAUUACACUAUAUUUAUAAUUAUAUUGAAUGAAACAGUUAAUGUGGUCUCUCCUGCAUAUUACCAUUGUUAAUUUCAAAUAGGUUCAAAAAAAUUAGAAUAAUUAUUUUUACAGUGAUUAUAAUUAAUAUAUUAAAAUCAUAUAUAUUGAAUAAAGUUAUUAAACAAACUAUGGAGACAACGUUGACUUGUCACAUGUGGUUGGGUGGAGAUCCAAAAAGAUGAAUCUACUCCUUCCACAAGUCAAAAAAAUAAAAAAGAUUAAAUUAUUUUUAGAAAAAAAAAAUUCUACUAUUAAAGUUGGAAAAAAAUAUAUAUAGAAAGUACCUGCGGACCAUUCUGAAACGACUACCUAAUCUUUUAAAAUUUUAAUUUUACUACUUAAUUUUUUUAGUUUAUUUAAUUUGAGUUAGUCAACGAUACUUUGACUUUAAAUUUUGAAUACGUUAUUUAUCUUAGUAGGUUUAGUUAGUUUACUUCAUGCAAUUGUCACAACUAUAAAUUUAUUAAAAUAAGUAAUUAGUUAGAAUUUUAAAAGUCAAAGUGUCAUUAAUUGGCUUAAAUCAAACAAAUUAAAAUAUUGAACGGUAAAAUUAAAAUUUUGAAAGAUUGGGUAGCUAUUUCAAAAUAGUCCACAGUUCAGAUAAAUUCUGUUUAUUUUUGCCAUUAAAGAUCAAAUUUCUAGUUUUGUCCUCUUAAAAGUGAUAAAUAAUAAUCAUCAUACAAUACUUUUGAUGCGACUUUAUUUAGAUAAAUGAUAAUGUUAUUAUUGAAUAAUUUUAUAUAAUAUGACAUAUUUUUGAUAAAUUUGAGCAUUACAACAACUAGCAAAUCCGCAGAUUCGAGAAUUUGAGUUCCUUUUACUUUUACAAUAAAUUUAUAAUAAUUUAGAGGUAAUUUAUUUAUUGUUUGAUAUUCUAAGAAACAAAAAAAAAAAAUCAAAUAUCCAUUUAUAACUACAUAAAUAGUUCUCCAAUAUUAUAAAACAAUAUAUAUAGUAUCCAAACCUUUGCUCCUGUGUCUCAAUUUUACUCUAUGAUAAAGAGGCAUAAAUUAUUAUUUUUUAAAAUAUUUGAGAGAAAAGAUAUCAACUUCUAUUUUUCAUUUUUUACCAUUAUUUUAAAUAACUUUAGAAAUUUAAGAUGAUUUUUAAUUCCAAUUCAAAACUCUAUAACAAUAGUUUCAAUACGAAUUAAAUAAAUUGUCAAUAAUUUAUCAAAUUUGAUAGUUCGCAUAAAGAGAAAGAUAUAUUUUAUUUUGUUCUAAAUUAACUUUAUAAUGUAUAAUUUAAAUAAAAAAUCAGAUAUAAAAUCAAAGUGACAUGUUAUACUAUUUUACUAAAGUUUUGCUUGGAAUUUAACAAUUAUUUGAUGAUCUUGUAUGGUAACAUAUAUGUUGUUUUAAGUUUUCAAAUAUAUUUCCUACAGAAUUUUUUUUAAAAUUUUAUUUAAAGUAAAAAAGACAACAAUACCAAUUAAAGCCUAAAUUUUUAUUUUUAUUUUUAUUUUCUUUUUUAAGAUGCCCCUAGACUAUACAUAAUCACUCAGUUCCAGAUUCUAUAGCCCGGGGAGCGAAAAAUACAAAUCAAUGUAAUAUAAACUUUUAUUAUUAUUUUAGUAAAAACGUAUAAAAUUUAUUUGAACUUUGAACCAGUUUAAAAUCACUAUCCACCUAGCUCAAUUCUAAAUUCUAAAAGUGUACAAUCCCCACCCCCAUUUAAACCUUGACAUUCUCAUCAGGCUUAAGCACACUUAGCUUUUGUUUGGUUAGGGGUUAAGGGAUGGAAUAGCCCCUUAACCCUUAUAUUAUCCCCAAACACCUCCAAAAAUGAAUAGGGUUAGCUAACCCCACCUCAAAUGGGCUAUCCCGAACCAAACGGUAGCUUAAGAAUCAAGUAAUGUGAGUCUCAUCUCACUUGCUAGCCUUAAUUGAUUUUAUGGGAAGCCACGCUCAACCAAUAAUGGUCGUCAACCGGCAAGCCGCGCUCCAUUGGCUGUAUGAUCCUAACUCAGCAGAUACUUAUUUUACACUUUUGACUGGUGAUUGUUUCUGAUACCAACUGUAAUGCCCCGCUUCCUAAACGGAUUACCUAUCUUAAAACUAUUCUAAUCCUAACGCACUUAGCUUUUUAACCUCUUGAAGUCAAGAAGUUUAGUCUUAUUACGUGAUAUACAUAACUAUUUGAAAUUCCGAUGGUGUCAGAUUACUCCUUAGAUAUAUAUUUGUAUUUGCCUCUCCUUCCCGCCGUAUUCAUGUCAAUGCACUUUUCAAUGAUACAUAAGCAAGUUAUGUUAACGCACCUUCCAAUGCAACAAUAAAUUGAUCAAUACAUAGGUAGCUAAAAUUUUGAAUUUUACAUAUCGUUCACUCACGCAAAUCAAACAAAUUAAAAAUUUGGACAACAAACUAAAAAUUUAGAAAGUUUAUGAAGCUGAUUCAAAAUAGUGUAUAGUUCACAUGAGUUGUGCAUUUUUUUUUUUUUUUUUACUUAGAAAAAACCUAUAUUAUUGCAUUGGUUUAUAGUAUAAUUAAGUUUUUCUCAUCGAAUUUUGUUGUAAUUAAGCCUCCGUUUGGUUCGGGGUUAAGGAAAAAGUAGCUAUUCCAGGGAUAGAGUUAAGUUCAGGGUUAAAAUGGGGUUAAAGUUUUUUUGUGUUUGGUUGGGGGUUGCAGUUAGUCUAGAAUAAUGAAAAAUAGUGUUUGGUUGGGUAGGUGGGAUAAGAAGAUAAUGAUUGAUAAAGAAGGAUAAUGAUUGGUUGGAGUAGGUGUGAUAAGAAAGAUAGUGGAUUAUUAUGAAUAGAAAAUAGUAUUUUGUUGGAGUUUGGUGGGGUUAGGUGGGGUUAGCUAACCCGGGAUAAUUUAUUUGAGGUGGGAUUAGGUGGGGUUAGCUAACCCCACCUAUUUUUUGGGGUGUUUGGGGAUAAAAUGGGGGUUAAGGGGUUAUUCCACCCCUUAACCCCCAACCAAACAAGGGCUAAAAGAAAAAGAAAAAGAAAAAGAAAAAGAAAAAGAAACACACAUACUACAUAUAAAUACUCCUUCCCCUCCUUAUCCCUCCUCUCCUCUACCAACCCCCUGUGUCUCUCUCUCCUCCGCUCCAAAACCCUCCGUAGCGAUCAAAACCCUAGGAGGAGGGGGAGGAGGCGGUCGAAGCCCUAGUUUUCCAUUUGCACUCUCGUGGGAGGCCUCUCAGCUCGAUCCCGUCUCCACAGAGAGGUGUUCGGUAAAUCCCAAUCAAUUCUAAACGCCGACGUUAUUUUAUCUUAUAAUUACUUGAAUUUGUAGCGUAUUGGUGGAAAUUUGGGUAAAUGGAUGCAGUUUUUGCCCUAAUUUCGUGAAUAAAAGAUGCAUUUAUGUUGUAGUGUUUGGUUUCGUUGAUCUGGGGGUCGAUUCCUCGUGCAUAUGUGUUAGUUUGGCCCGGUUUCGGGAGUGAGUUCUCUGCUUGAGAAGCAGAAGCUUGAGUGCAUGGAAAAUGAGAAAUUUAAAGGUUUUUGUUGUUGCGGGAAGCAGAAACGAGCUUCUGACCCUGUGAAUAUCUGCUUUAGUUUGAAGCUUCUGGUUCUAUUUGAUGUGGGAAGCUGUAAACAGAGUUGUAAUACUUGCUUUGUCUUGCCGCAGCUUUUGCUGUUUAAGUGAGCUGGUCGAAGAAGCACAGUGACAAUUAACAGCUUUUCUGUUAAACUGCACCGCGCAGUUUUGUGUUGCGGCAGAAAUAGAAGCUUCAAAUUAGUGUUUCUUUGAGGCCUAUAACAGCUUCCACCACACAAAAAGCUCCAGGCACUUCAUUUGCUAAAUGGCAGGCUGCUGCUUCUGGCGGCAGGGUAACUGUUUCAGACACUAGCCAAAAUGGCAGUACAUGAAAAAUACUAGGAGUGCUUCUCCCAGUAGCUCUACUCAAUUGACACUUUUGCAAAAGUUGUAGUGUGAUGAAUGGGCCACAAGUAGAAGUUUGUUUUGAAACUUUUAUUGCUGUAUUGUUACCUAUUCAUGUGACGUCCCAAUAUUCCCACAUCGUAUAAUGUGGGUGAUCGUGAGGGCCUUAUAUGUGGCUAGUUUGCUUGUACUAAUAACUAGGCUUAAGCAUUUUGGGUUAGCAGUUUGGACCCAACAAAGUAUUAGUGCACGUGGGCUGGGUCGUUUCAAUACAUGUGAUAGUUCAGCCUGUGUUGUUUAGCAUCUCUUCAUGAGAGGUUCAUUAUUGGCCUUUCACCUGUUUUUAGUACCUUUGUUUCUUUGGAAAGCCAUUACAUUUCCUUUGCUUCUUUUGCUUGUGGAUUAGUGGAUUGCUGCAGUUUUAUCAUCUCUCUUUGUCUGGUUGUUCUCUCUAAGCAGCUCGGUUAGUGGGUGUAUCAGUAUGUCGUCACCUUUAACUCGCGAUUGGGUGGGAAUCCAACAGUUCCCAGCUGCCACGCAAAACAAAUUGCUUGAGAUACUGGGGAAACUAAAGGAAGAGGUUCAUGUAGUGUUUUCCUCAAUUAUGCUCUUAACAUUUAAUUAGAGGUAUAAUGUAUUGGAUAGUCCUUGUACCAUCCCAAUGUCGACAUCGUACAGUGACCAGCAAUACAUUUUCCCCUUUAUCAAUUUUGUCAUAAUUUCUUUUUUGAUGUCGCAAGGCUUUUUUCUAAUAUUCCAGUUUUGAUUUCUCUUAGAAUGUGAGCACAAUGACUAUUCUGGUGAUGGGUAAGGGUGGUGUUGGGAAGUCCUCCACUGUGAAUUCCAUUCUAGGGGAGAGGGCGGUUACUGUGAGCACUUUCCAGGUUUCUUUUCUAUCUAUAUACAUCAUACUCAUUUUUUUGGUAAUUAAUGUUAUUAUUUGAGGGUUAGUAAAAGCUUAUUGUAUUGCUUUGUAAUACAAUCUUGUAGUCUGAAGGAUUGCGGCCAAUGAUGUGCUCAAGAUCACGAGCAGGGUUCACUUUAAACAUCAUUGACACGCCGGGACUUGUAGAAGGCGGAUAUGUCAAUGAUCAAGCUCUUGAGAUCAUAAAACGGUGUGUAUUAUGAAGAAACUUGUAGGUGAUCUGUAUGCGGAUGCUCAUUCUAUUUGUAAGAUAGAAUUUAGUCGGUUUGAUUGAAUUGUACAGAUUUGCCACUUGAAAUCAUGGAGUUUGCACCUAUUUACAUCUGGAUAGAAAAUGAUGCAUGCUCUUAUGGCGGUAGCUUCAAAUUUUGCUAAAAUUUUCUCUUUGAUGCAAAAUUUCAUUUCAAAAACCUUAAUAAUUUGGCACUUUAUUGUUGAAUUUGAUUGUGUUUGAUUGUUUAUUUCGGCGAGAGCAAGAAAACAAGAUUAGGGACGUGUGGACUGUUCAAUAGUUGGAUGAUUGUUUAAUUUUAGUAUUAUAACAGGGGAUAAAAAUAAGACAUGAUUAUCUUCAUGUAUCAUCCACAUGAUUGCAAUAUUCAGUCCAUUAGAAUAUUCAUCAUGUUCUUUUUAAAUUUCUUAUAUAUACACAUUAUCAGAUAUAAGAUUCUCAUUACUUGUUCUUAGUUACAAAUGAAUGGUAAUAUUGCUGUUAGUACAUAUCUAUUUUCCAUCCGACCUUCAUAAUUUAUUCAGAGCUAUUGAUAUGUUGGACAUUCUCCUUCAGUCUCCAAACUGAUUUUCCUACUUUAUUCGUGAGCAGUUUUUCUAAAGAAAGUAUAGCACAAGCUGUUAAAAUACAGGAAUGUAUAAUUAGUCGUAAAAACUCAAAUUGAAGACACCGAUAAUACCAGAGUAUCUGAUGCAUAUCCUACACAGAUAGGUGUAUACGCAAUUUCCAAAUUGAAUGGAACUGUUACUUUGUAUUUCAAUGGCUUCUUCUCUCUCCUAAUUGCUGCAGGGAAGGCCGUUGUUGUUUUUAUUGUUUAGUUAGCAACUCUUCUGCUAUUAUUUUAUUUGCUUGUUCCGCGGCUAUUUUUAUUUUUUAUUUUAUUUUUUUUAUUUCAGGUCAUAUUCAAUCCUUUUUACUUGGCUCAUUCUAUGUAUUUUUAGCUAAUGUGCUCUGAUUUUCUUUCAGGUUUCUGUUGAAUAAGACUAUUGAUGUUCUCCUGUACGUGGACCGGUUAGAUGUGUAUAGGAUGGAUGCUUUGGAUAGACUAGUUAUUAAAGCUAUAACUGACACUUUUGGAAAGGCAAUAUGGAGAAGAUCUUUGGUUGUGUUAACACAUGCUCAAUUGUCUCCACCAGAUGGAUUGAAUUAUGAUGACUUCUUUGCCAAGCGCUCAGAAGCGCUUCGCAAAUGCAUACGGUUAGGCGCCCGCAUCAAAAAACAAGAGUUUCAGGUAUUAAAAUUUCACAGCAUUUGUCUUUUUCUUUUUUCUGAAGAAAAUCGUUAUUUUUGCGAAGAUAGGAAGCUUUCUGAUGGAAGACAGCAAUGCGUCACCUCCCAUCUCACGUGGUCUCUUUUAUAAUGGUUGUGGAGAUAGUGGAAUGACUCGUGUAAAUUGGAUGGUAAAGCAUAUUGCACAACAAUCGUGUGGUAGUUUAUAUCAAAUUUUGGUGGAAAAUUUAAAUAUUCCAUGAGAUAUUAGACAUUUAGUAGUGUCACCCUUUAAUGUGGCUGAAAAAGUAAUGUGAUUGAAAAAGUGGGUAAAGUAGUUAUCUGCGAAUUCAGAGGUUGGGCCUGUCUGGCCCUGAUAUGCCUGGAUUGGAGAAGUGAGGCUGGUAUUUCUGUAAUUUUUUCAUUCUUCAAAGAAGGAAAACUUUGAACCUUAUUUGAUAAGGCACUUAGAUGGCAAAGGAUUCAUAAUGAAGAUCACCGAAUCUCUAUCUAAUAUCUCUAAAUGGUUUACAAAAGACGCUCUUCAUCUUUACAUCACGUGUAUACAUUGUUCCUUUCUAUAGGUUAAGCAAUAGGUUUGUUGGUGUUUUGAUAUACUUUCGUUAAUCUAAAUGUGAAUAAUCAAUAACAUCUACUAGUGCUUUUACUCGCUGAAGGUAAGGAAAAGAAUUGCUGGCUUUGAGUGCUUCAUAUGACUAUCGUCGUUGACUAAGCAUAAUGAACUAAGCAUAAUGAACUAAGUUAUUUAGUAUCGUUGAGGGAAUAAGACAGUAUGAAAUUAAUUUUUGAUUUUACAUUUCCACAUCAAUGAGAAUAAGAGUGGUAUAAAGAGAACCCUCUACCGUACAUGCCGAAAGGCUAAUUUGUCUUUUGUUCCAUAUUUCUCAAGAUAAAUUCAACUCGGUUUCUUAAGUGCUUAUCUAAUAUAAUGUACUUGUGUGUGUGCGCGCGCGCGCACGCGUAGCUUGUAAGCAUGUAUGGAUAUCUCUUAAACAGUAAAAUUCGCAGAUACACUAUAAUCGUAUGCUUGCUUUGAUAUACAUACGUUCUUCAGUACCGUGCAUGUACAUCACCAAAAUUUUUUCUAAACCAUGUAUACUCACAGGUGAUUUGGUAACAUAUGUAAUGUGGAAAUGAAUAUGCACAUUUUUUUUUUCCUUAUAGAGGGAUGUGUUAAAACAAGUUCUCUAUUAGUUUUUGGAAUAGCUUUCCUGUAUUCAAGUUUCUUGAUCAGCCACUGUUGGCAAUCACUUUGCUGGUUAUUCUGAUAUUUGGCAUCUGAACAGUUAUCGUCUUCUCUUUUCUAUAAAGAAACGAAGCCUUCAUUUUUGAGCCUGAAUGCGACAAAACAUCGUGGUAUCGAAUAAUGCCGCCAAAAAUGUGCUCUCUCGUCUUGCAGGAAUCAAACAUUCCCGUGGUGUUAGUCGAGAACAGUGGGAGAUGCAGGACUAACGAUAGUGCAGAAAAGGUAUGUCUUCUUGUUUUUUCAUCGCCCUUUUUACUUGCAUUGAAAUUUGGCUAAACGCAAAAAAUCACCGCUAGACCUUCAACCUUACCUCAUCCCCUCUCCCUGCUUCAAUUUCAAUACUCAUGUUGAUUACUGAAAAUUAUGAGUGAAAAAGAACCACACGAAAAGCGAGUAAAUUGUUCAAUAAACUGUUAGAUACCUACAGUAAAGAUCACCUUUUGUUGUUUACUCUCGUCGAUGAACACAGAUACUGCCCGAUGGUACGCCGUGGAUCCCAAACUUGGUGAGAGAAAUCACACUCAUCAUCUCUAACGGGAGCAUGCCGAUCGUCGUUGAUCAGAAGCUGAUCGAGGGCCCCAAUCCUAACAACCGCGGAAAGCUUUUCAUACCCCUCAUUCUGGCUUUUCAGGUAAAAAUGCCUCCUUCCUGCAAAAUCAGUUCAAACUUCACUAGAAUUACUCGCACUUCUAUAUGAAGUAAGCAACUACCUAUUCCUGCAUUUGUUUUUUUCCUCAGUACUUUUUCGUGAUAAGACGGAUUCAACGAGCCAUCAAAGAUGACAUUGCAAAGGAAAGCAAGCCGCUUUGGGAGCUGCGCGACUUGGGCUUAGCAGAUCGCAAAUUCUAGUCUCUCUCUCUCUCUCUCUCUCUCUCUCUCUAUAAAUUAUCUUUCUAUGUUGUUGGUUUGUGUGUAUUCAUUUCCUGUGCUGUUGUGUUACUAUGAGGGCUUUAUCCGAACAGUCGUACUGCGGCGGACUACUGACUUUCUUUUUGUAAUCCCAGUCUCAUGCUAUCAAUCUUUCAUCUUCUUCUGACAGAUUGUUUGGCUUCAACUGCUGCUCUUUUGCAUGUCAUUUAUCUUACUAUUUAUAGUGUAUGAUGAUAAUAUACUAACAUCAUCGGUCACAUGUUAUAUGGGCCUACUGCUUUUGCUUGAAGUUGAAGCCAGCCUUUGGGUGUCCAUAUUCUGCGAGUUUCUAUGUCGGGUCGUUGGCGCUAACUAUUAAUCCCAAAAGCUCGAGCUGUUAGAAAUACGCAACUAAUUCACUUAAAGCGUAUAGAUACAGUGCCCACGGGGCUCGAUUGUGACUUGACCCAACCAGUCUCAUGCCACUUCGAACACGACUCGGCCUAUCCAGCCUCACGCCAUUUCGAACAUAACUCGGCCCAAUAUGGCUUCCCGCCACAUAACAGAAUGCAGGUCUAUUUAAGCCAACAUUCUAAUGGCUCGAGUUUUUUUCAAAAAUAAAGUUAAGUGUCUCACAAACAUUCGUCAAAGUUUGCCGUAAACUAAAUUUGCCCUUUAACUUUAUUUCUUUCAAAAUGUUAUAAUUGAUUUCGCUCAGAAUGCAAUCGAUGUACCUUUCUUUUGCCCUUUUAUGCGCUAAUGCGAAAUUUGCGAUAAAAUAAACCAAAAAAAAGGACUAACUAUAGUUUGUGGGCUUUCAAUGUUUACAAAAAUAAAUUUUCACUUAAAUUUUAGUUAUACUGAAAGUAAAUUUUAAACUUAAAAAUAAAAUUUGUUUUUAUAUAAAUUAAAUUUUAAUGAAUUUUAAAUAUAACAAAUAAAGCGCAUCUGGUGUAGUGGUAUCAUAGUACCCUCCCACGGUACUGACCGGGGUUCGAUUCCCCGGAUGCGCACCAUUGGAUUUAUUUUUUUUUGUUUUCUUGGCAUUUAUUCUCCUAAAAAAUAUUCCUUUUUUUGGAAUAAUUGCCUAUAUACUCCUCAUGCGUCUGGAAAUAUCUGAUCUACCCCUAUAUUUUUUUUUUUCUAAAAUACCCCUCAUAUGUUCCACCGUUAUUGUAAAAUACCCCCGCAGUUAUCUCCUGUUAAAUUAACCUGAGUUAAACGUGAGUUAAAUAUCUAUUACAGUUAAAAAAAAUUAAAUUGCCAAUUUUGCCCUUAACUUAAGGGCAAAUAAGAAAGGUUGGUUACGGUAGAGGAGUAUAUUGGAAAAGACAAAAAGUUAAAAUAUUUAAGGGCAAUAAAAAAGACAAUGAUGGUGGAAGGGUAUAUUUGAAAAGGGCAAAAUAGUAAUUUUACAGAGAUAACAGUAUUACUUAACAAAUUUUAACUCUAAGUGUAUAUUAGAAAUAAGUUGGAACGUAGGAGGGGUAUUUUCAAUAUUAGCCUUCUAAGAGGGGUAAAUCAAAAAGUUGGAAAUUUUUCAGGAGUAUAUAAGAAAUUGCCCCUUUUUUUUUUAUUUUUUUGGGAUUUAUUCUCCUCAAAAUACAUUAUUUUUCUGAGCAUACGGCAAAAUUAUAAAUCACAAUACUACUCGUACAUCCAAAAAAAAAUAUGUAUAUCUUACACACAGUAGUUUUACAUGAUUUUUUUUAUCCGGCGUUAUGCUAGGUAGAAAAGGAUUAGUUGUGAUUUCUAAUAUAUAUAUGGCAAAAUUAUAACAAAUAAUACAAUACAUACAUCUCAAAAAUGGUGUAUAUCUUACUCGUGAUUUUUUUUUUUUGUCGAACGUCACACUGAAUAGAGAAGGGUUAGUUGUGAUUUUUGGCACACGUGGCAAAAUUAUAAAGCGCAAUGCUAUUAAUACAUUCUGAAAAUGGUGCAUUUCUUACACGGGUGGUUUGUCCAUUACUUUCAUGAUCUUUUUAUGUUGUUAUAAAGUGUGAUACUACUCAUACAUCCACAAAAAAAAAGCGUGUAUAUCCUACACUCGUGACUUUUCCACCACUAACAUGAUCUUUCUUGUUGAGCACCACAAGAGAUAAAUAAGAACUAGUUAUAGUUUUUAGCGUAUAUGACAAAAUUAUAAAGCGCAAUGCAGUACAUACAUCCUAAAAAAAGUGUAUAUCUUACAUGCGAGUUAUCCACAACUCACACGAUUUUUUUUUCUUCGUCGAACAUCACACUGGAUAGAGAAAUCCUAUUUGUGAUUUUUGGCAUAUAUGGCAAAAUUAUAAAGAGCCUAAUACAUUUCGAAAAUAGUAAAUAUUUUAGAGCUAGGUUGGUAUACUAUCGGUAGCACGAAGGCCUCCGUGUUACCAAGUUGUUUUCAAUAAUCCGGCUUCUAAAUCGACGAUCGACUCCGUUAGACUUGAUCUACACUAUUGAAAGUAUUUGGAAACUAAAUUUCAUAAUUUUUCGGCAUCAUUUACCUAUCAAACGAGUAGCCUAAAAAUGAACGGCUGAAAAUAAAAAUCUCAUAAAAAAUGAUGAUAAAAGAUUUAAAUUUAAGAUCAGAGGUACUGAUCUUAUUCUAAAUAGUGAAANAAACUAAAUUUCAUAAUUUUUUGGUAUCAUUUACCUAUCAAACGAGUAGUCUAAAAAUGAACGGCUGAAAAUAAAAAUCUCAUAAAAAAUGAUGAUAAAAGAUUUAAAUUUAAGAUCAGAGGUACUGAUCUUAUUCUAAAUAGUGAAAAGAAUUUUCUAUAAAAAUUUCAUCGGAUUUGAAUUUUCUUACACCGUUAAAUUCACAAACAUAUUACAUCGACCAUUAAAAUUGUCAAUUUUGAGACCUUUUAAUCACUAACCAAAUGAUACUGGAAUGGAGUGAAAAAUUAUUUUUCGGAAAAAAGGGUUUUUUCAUAGAAUGCCUCCUUUUCCAAUUUUGGAUUAUUUGGUUUGAGAAAAACUAGUAUUUUUGAAAAAGUUUCUUCUAUAUUUCAUGAAAAAUUUGUGAUUUUCUUUUUCAAUAUUUUAUCUGAAAAAUUAAAACACUAGUAUUUUGUGAAACCUUGAAAAAACUGUUUUAAAAAAAACUAGUUUUUCUCGUAGCCAAACAGUGAAAAUUUUGAAAAUGGUUUUUUUUUUCAAUAAAAACCUUUUUUUGCAAAUAAUUUUUCGUGCUUCUUCAAAAAAAACCAAACAUCGCAUAAACUAAUUUUAUCAAAUAAUUCAAUAAUUCUUUUUCCUCCGCAAAAAUUGUCAUACUUUAUUCGAACGUGCAUCAUGCACAUAAUAAUCUUAUAAAACUUUAAAAUAAAUUUUUUUAUUUCUUUCAAUUUGAGAUAAUAAAGUAUGAAUAUUGAUGACUUAGCAAACAUAGCCUCAAUUUCUUUUUUCUUUUUCUCUCUCUUUUUUUUUUUUUUUUUUUUUUUUUAGGAGAGAAUGAUAAUAGGCCAACGGUUUUGUUCAAAUUUAUUAAAGAUGAACUCAGCAAGAAAAGUGAAGCAUUUAUUCAUUCUGAUUAGAAAUGAACUCAACGAGAAACUUGAAGCAUUCACGCUUCCAACGGUCGGUUUAACUUUAAUUAUUAUUAUUAUUUAUAUAAAAAAUAUAAUAAUAUAUAUUAUAUAAUAUAUCUUUAUAUUGGUUAAAUUAUAGAAGAUUUUUUUUUUUAUAAAUACCUUCUUUUUUUUUGACUUUCAAAAAUCUAUAUUUUGCCCUCUUAAAAUUCUAAAAAUAUGCUCACCGUCCUUACUGCAAGUGGUAAAAGACUUAGUAGUUUUUUAAUAUAUUUUCAUCAUUUUGAAAGUUAUUUUUCUUAUAAAAUUAUAAAAAAUAAGCGGAAUAGUGAUGGAACUUGACUGAGGAGGGGGCCAAAUGCAAUAACUUGGAAUGGUGAGGGGAUAAAAUAUAGAUUUUUGAAAGUUAGCGAGGAAAAGUAAAUAAAGGGUUUUUUUUUUUGUAAUUUAACAUUAAAUUUUAAAGCUUUAUAAAACUGCAUGCUAACGUUAAAGGAGUAACUUCAAUUAAAUAAAACUUCCUUUUGAACAUUUUGAUAAAACUUUAGUAGGGAUGCAAAUGGAUCUGGGUUGGAGCUACCGCCCCGAUCAGCCCCAAAUAGGGUAGUAAGCGAGAAUAAAAAAUAUAAAAAUAUAUAAUCCGUCCCGAAUCCACGACGAUCCGUCAAGUAAAUGGAGCGGAAGGCCGAAGGCUGGAGACCAUUUUCUUCCUUCAAUCUAUUCUGAUCCGUCAAAAAUCUACCCUAAUAGGACGGUACGUCAGAGCCACAAAUAAAAUAAAAAAUAACUCGCUCCAAAUCCGCCCCGUCCCGACAAGAAAUAGAACGGCUCCCUCCCCCGGAUCCCCCAUUAGGGAUCAAAUUGCUAAACUUUGAAAGUUCAUGAAGCCUUUUGCAAACAACUUAAACUUUAGGGGGGCCUAAGGAUAUUUUCCCAAAAAAGUGAAAAAAAACAUAAACCCCCCUCCCUCAGUCCCUCCCUCUCCGGCGGUGGCCGUGAUCUCUCCGCGACUACACAAACCCACCAUCUCCGCGGCGAAGCCCUCUCUAGGGUUUCUCUCUCUCCUCCCCCAUUCCCCCCCCCCCUUCUCUCUCUCUAGGGUUUCUCCCUCGCCGCCCCCUUCUCGAUCGGAUCCCUCCGCCCCAUGCCCCUCAGAUCAGGCGGGAGGCAGAUCUCCUUCGAGAUCCUCGCCGGCGACACAUCCGGCGACGACGGCGGUGGCGGAGGAGGCGGCGGGGAACCGCCCCGCCGGAAGCGGAGGGCGAGGGGAUCGAAGAGGAAGAAGAGGCCGAGCUCGGUGGCGGAGGAGCCGAGCGUGGCGCCCCCGAUCGGAUCGGAGCAUCGGAAGCCGCUCGCGCCGGAGAAUGCGCUGUGCGAGGACGAGAUCGGGUUCAAGAUGCUGGAGAGCAGGUCGGUGGUGGAGACCGUGUGCGAGGGCGCGGUGGUGGAGAGCUCGAAGGUGAGCUCGGUGUCGUACGUGGAGUUGCGGCAGAGGAAUGUGAACGGCGGUGGUGUGGGUGACGAGGUUGGGGACGAGGCUGCGGCGAGUGCGAGGGAGAGCUCCGCAGGGUCAUGGAGGCCGGAGUCGAAUGGGAGUGUUACCAAUUUGGCAAAGGAGAAGUCGCUGGAUUGGAAUCAGGUGGUCGCCGAGGAUCCCAAUAUUCUUCGAGGUAUUUUCUUUGUAGCCGCAUUGUAUUCGAUGUGAAUUUACCUGAGAAUUGUACUCAAUCUGUCCAAUUAGUGGAAUGAAUACAUAGAUUGGUUGCUAAGGACAGUUGAAGUGUCAAAGAAGUUGUGAUCAUCUACAUAGGUUUUUGUUUUGUCCUUUUUUUGUUAGAAAAGUAGCUAUGAAGGCAUGCAGAGUUCUGGGUGAGCUUAUUAUUUAUAUUCAGUUUUGGGCUAUUUCAUACCUUGUGAUUCGAUUACAUUCGUCAUCAGGUAGUGGUUUAUGUGUAGUUGUUGUGGAUGUCCGAAACCGUGAUAUUAGAUUCAUCAGACAAUCUUAUCCCUUUUGUCAGCCACAGUUUUGGGAAAAAGUAUCGUCUUUCUGAUGUAGGUUAGCACCAGGGACAAGAUAAAUUUUCCGAGUUUGGCUUUAUGAAUUUUGAAGCAGUUUUAGUUUGGCUAAUCUACUCUAUUAUAGUCUAGGCAAUGGUCUUGAUGAACUCUGCAUUUGAGCAAUAAUUGGUCUGGGCAAGAAUUUAUCGGCGUCUAAGAUUGUUGGUGCAUGGCGUGAGUGGAACUAAAUUGGCUAGCACAUGCUGAUAUAUAGUCUUUAACUAGUUCCAUUUUUCGCCUCCAUAUAAAAUGUGCAAGCGCUGAUUGUCAUUUAGCGGUUCCUCCAAAUUUGUUUUCAGUAUUUUCCGUUGCCUGUUCCUUUCAUAGUAUUUCCUUCUAUAGUUUGAUCUUAAAUCUCUUUUUUGUGACGGUUCGCAAGAAAAGCAAGUAUUGAGAAUUUAAUCCUUGUUAGGGAUACUGUAUGUAAAGUGGGAUGCUUUAUUAUGUAAUUAGGUGCCUUACUAAAUAUGAUUUUCACUUGGAACACUCAUUUGUUGUAACUUGGUGGAAACUUCAUUCUUCCGUCGACAAAUAUAUACAUUGUCGACUUGUCGUAACUCGUAUAUAUCUACAUGCAUUUAUUGAUUGAUUGCAGAAGUCUCUUCUAGUGCAAAAUCACCAUUCGCGUACUUUGUCGGAGAGAUUUAUGGUGGCAAUGCAUUAAGGAGCACAAUUGCUGUGGGUAAUGAGAAGAAACGGCAAAGAGUCUACAAUACAAUGUUUCACGUGCCCUGGAGAUGUGAACGGGUACUUACUAAACUUGUUUUUGCCCUGAAUUUCAGCAGUUAGAUAGUCCUUGUAAAAAGUUAUAAUUUGUUCGAUUUGGCACUUUAAGCUAUUUAUGAUUUGGCUUAGACAUGAUAAAUUUGUAAUUGAUUUGGCUCAAGGGUAUAAAUUAUCUUGUAAUGAUUGAUAAUUUUAGACAACAUGAACAUUAUACUCAGUUGUAGAGUCAGGGACAAAGAGAUGCUAUCUUUGGUUAAUUUAUGAUGCAAUCAUAGUUCUGAAUAUUUUCAUGAUUUUAUUGUCCUUAACCACUAAUAUAUGAUGUUUUUAGUUCAUUGUUUUCUCAUUUCGAAGUGUCCAUGCUUUUCUUUUCGGUGUCUUCAUGCAUUAGGUUAUAUUUCUCAUCAAAUUUUCUUUAGAAAUCCAUCUCUCAUGCUUGAUUACAAUGCUGCAGCUUAUUAUUGCGGGCUUCUUUGUCUGCUUGGAUUCCUUUCUGUCUUUAUUAACUAUUAUGCCAGCCAGAAUUCUAAUGACGAUUUGGAGGGUGCUUAAGACGAGGUGGGUUGCAUCUUUCAAGUGAUUAUCUUUCUUUAUCUUUUUGAAAGCAAAUGUUACUGUUGUUGCAUCCACUCAUAUUCACAAUUUCAUUUGUAGCCUCCAAAAAGUUAUGUGUGGGUCAGUGGUUGUUUAAUUUAUUUAUUUUUGUAGUCUUCUGCAAUGACAAGCAUGGAUCAAUGAUUGUUUACUGUUUAGUCAUGUUCACCAUUGAUUCAUAGAUUUGUUUGGAAUUUUUGUUUUCUUUUUUUUUUUUUCAAGCAAUUAGUAUAUUUACUUCCUGAUGCCCUAUGAUAUAAUUUAGGUUUGUUGUAUCCAUAUUAUCAAGGAAUCUUACUGACUUAUCAGAUCUGGGAUUUUCGAGUCUUCUUCAAUCGUCCUUUGGAACUACAAUGCUUAUCUACUACAAAGAAAAUCCCUACAGCUAUCUCCUUGUGUACUAUUGAUGAAAAGGCAAGGCAAAAAGAAAUCGUUCCACCAAUUUCAGCCUAUAGAUUAUAGAGAAGAUUAAUACACGUACAUGUUUAUAGGCCGAUUGCUCCUUACCUAAUAAAAAUGUCUUCCCUGUUAAGAACUUGCAACAGGACUAAAUCUUACCAUUAAAUAGGGCAAUUAGCAUGGUUACUUCCUGAACUCCCAACAAGUUGCAACUGGUCCCAAAUCUUCAAUUUAAUAGAUUAGUCCUUGAAACUUAAGCAAUUACUCCAAUGCCUUCGCUAGAUUUAUUAGACAUCCUAAUUGUCUGCCUUCCAUUGUUCAUGUAGCUGGCUCCUAUUAGGUGCUAAACUUCUGUUGGACAUAAGUGCACCCACGAUGAAGUUGCAAGAAAUUAGGCUAGGUUAGUGGCAAAUUUCUUUAAGUAAAUGAUGAGGGAAAAUUGCAGUUUGUUGAAAGUUUGGUGCCUCCCUGUGCAUUUUAUUGUAUUGAUUUGUAGAAAGAUUGAAAUAUGGAUUAAAACCUUCCUGAAAUAAGGACAUCAAUAAUUCAUAGGUGGACUCACUUUACUUUGACUACUGUGCUGCUCAUUGCUCCGGUGAUACAUGUAUAAUCAUUGUGAACUAGUUGCACGAAUCUUUUUUUUUUUUUUUGUUCUUCUCGCAUUGGAUGUGCUAUUUUCCAUUUUGUACAUUAGUUUGUGAAAUGUUCUUCUGAUCUGCAUGUUUGUGACAGGCAGUUUCAGAGGCCAAACGCUGCCGAAUUGUCAGAUUUUGGAUGUUUAAUAGUGUUGGCUCUUGGAGUAGUUUCUCUUCAAAGGAUAGGUAGGAAUCUAUUUACAUUUCUAGCGUUGUCUUAAAUGUUAGAAAUGAUCCGUUCUAACUUGUGCAUCCUUCAUCAGAUAUUAGCUUGAUAUAUCACGUUAUACGUGGUCAAGGAACAAUCAAACUCUAUGUAAUAUACAAUGUGUUAGAGGUGAGAAAACACUGCCUAGGAAAUUGCCAAAUCAUAUCUAUAUAAUAGAGUUGUUUAAUACAUACUUUGAUAUCUGUGGCAGAUAUUUGACAAACUCUGUCAAUCUUUUGGUGAGGAUGUUUUGCAAGUUUUGUUCAACUCAGCAGAGGGGCUUUCCAAUUGUUCGCCAGAUACUUUCACAUUUGAACUGAUGAGAUUCAUCUUGGAUGAAACAAUAGCAGUCGUUGCAUUUGAUAUCCUUUGCGGCAAAUCAUCUUUCUUUUCUUGAUUUUGAUUGUCUUUUGGACAUAUAUUUACGAUCUGGAUUUCCUUGACCAGUUGCACUUGUUCAUGCUUUCGUUUUGUUAGUUCAGGCUAUUACCUUAGCGACAUGCAUUAUUGCACAUAACAAUGCUCUAUUGGCUCUGCUGGUGUCGAACAAUUUUGCUGAGAUUAAAAGCAAUGUGUUUAAACGUGUUAGCAAGGAAAACCUUCACAAUUUGGUAUACUAUGGUGAGUUCAUAUUUCUUUCAACUUUCAUAACGUCCCCUGUGCCAAACUGCAGCUUGUCAUAUUACCCUUUGCCUGUUGUUGUACGUUCAAAAGUUUGUAUUGAAUCAACGUGGUAUAACUGGAAGUAUACUAUAUUGAUUCUGUAAAUGGCAUGAAUAAAAUACAAUUACACUGACUUCUAUGGUGCAAUAAUCCAACUAGCUAGUAGUGUAAGAUUCCCUUUCGGAAUCUUCUCGCCUCGUUCUUGAAGUGCAAAAGGAUUAUCUCCAUUAAAUAAUGACCUCUCCUGAUAAACUAGUUGUUCUACUUGGUAUAAAAGAGUGAUGUUGAAGUUUACUCGGAGUCAUGGCAUUUUACAUGUUAUUGAUUCCAUAUAAUGUAGGGUGUUCUGUGGUGCCGUCAACUACAUAGGCCUUUGGUACUGCCGUGGCUAAAAGUAUUAUUUUUAUACUAUAGAAUACCUAAAAAUUUCAAAAGCACUUUCAAUCUUCUCUUAUUUUAUGCUAUAAAAUUGUGGUUGCAACUGCCGCAGGAGAAGCAUGCGGCUAAAUGCUUAGCCACAUGCUUCUCAAGCGGCAGUUGCAACUGCAAUUUUAAAGCAUUGGAGGAGGAAAAAUUUUAAGUGCUUUUGAAUGUUUUGGGCCUUUCAUAAAUAAAAAUGAUGCUUUUAGCCUCCACAUUACCAAACUAGGCCUUAUUUGGCUUGCUGUGCAUCACGUCUACUUAUUUGGCUAGUAGGGUGUUCUGUGGUGUUGUUAACUACUUAGUUGGCUUACUUGUGCCUCACAUCUAUCUCAGUUCUCUGUUUGUUGCACUUCAGAUUCUAGGCUCUAUGUUGGUUGCACUAUGUUUUUUGCGUGUGACUCUGCAUGCACUAUCAAAGGCUUAUGAAAGUAGUUGGAUUUCAAUAAUUUUUGUUUUGAGAUAACGUGGCUGAAAACCUUCUCAUGCUUUUUACCUGAGCUCCAUAAAAACCUUGUGCGGACCUUGUUAGUUUAGUUCUUUAUGUAUGUAGUCAAACUAUGAUUGAUAAUUUAAUGUAGUUUUCAGACUAUGAUUUUUCUUGAAAGGAUUUCUUCAAGGUCUGGUUUAUAACAGAUAUCUGUUGGUGUGUUGUCAAAGCUAAGUGUGGAGGAAUUUAUGAAAUUUCCUGGUAGAUGUUCAUAAAAAUUUAUUGUGUUUGCUUGUUAACCUUCGUAAUCUCAUUAACUAAAAUCCAUGGUCUGUUGUUUAUUGGUUGUAAAUGAUUGAUAUUUUCAUUCACAUUACUGUUUUCUAUGAUUAUAUUGUUUUUCUUGUUUGUCUCAACAUAUUUUUAAAAAAUCUUUUAUUGUUCAAGUCAUUAGUCCAACAAUUCAAGUUCAUCUACGUGUAAUCUACCUUUGAUCAUGCUGCUGUUGUCCUUUUGUUGAUUCUAAUGUUGCCCUGAAGAUCAACAUUCUUCUUCAGUUUGUAGUUCUACAAAUUUUUCUGUUUUCUGUUCCUUUACCCUUUUUUUGGUAUACUGUAUUGUUGAUUUAAGAAAUCAUGGAUACGUCACUAUAUGGAUGUUCAGCAGUUAUUUAUUGAUCCCUGGAACUACUACUUGUAACCUUUUGAAUUACCAUCAGUCAUUCACAUUUCACGAUUUCUUAGUGGUUAUGCCUGAAUUUUUAGGAUUUUGAUUACUAUUAUCAUGAAACUUACUGGAUUUUUAUUCACUGACCAGAUAUUGUGGAGAGAUUUCACAUUACAGCUUUUUUACUGUUUGUUCUUGCUCAAAAUAUCUUGGAGGCUGAGGGCACAUGGUUUGAGAGUUUUCUUAUUGUAAGUUCUACCUCUUACUUUCUAGAAGAGUAACGUUAUGGGUGCCCCAGAAGUUCCCUUCUGAGUGUACUUGAUAAAUCAGUUUUCUGUUUUGGGCUCUAUAUAUCAAAUCUGAAGUACUAAACUACUUAUUUAAGUGCACAUGUGCAAAGCCGGAUCGCUGAAAUUUGGGGUAUGCUCAUGAGGUACCCAUUGCGUUACCCUAGUCUAGAAUUCUAUUGAUUAAAUUAGUGGAUCAAUCUCCUUCCAGUCUUAAUAGAAUGCUUAAUAACUGUUCAUAUUUGACCCUCUAGAAUGCUCUACUGGUUUACUUGUGUGAAGUACUUAUCGAUGCAAUCAAGCAUUCCUUCCUUGCCAAAUUCAAUGAGAUAAAACCUAUCGCAUAUUCAGAAUUUUUGGAAGAUCUCUGCAAGCAGGUAAAGUGAGUUGUCUAUUAUUUUAGCUGCAUUUGAUUCCAUUGCAGUGUUUCACUCAUAGAUAAUCACUUGGGAUGCGCGUUAUGGUUCUAUUAAUAUUAUGAGCUUUUAAGAAUGAUAUGCUAUGGAAAUUCUAGAGUUAUACUUCUGUAAAACUGAGUCUUCUAGGUUUUAUUUGGAUCAUCUCAAGUCUUUUAUGCUUAUUUUUAGAUGGAGAGAAUAGGAGAGAAAAAAAAGAGAAAAUAAAGGAGAGAAGAAGAGAACACUCCGUUUGGAUGGAGAGAAAAGGGAAGAAAAGAAAAGAAAGUUAGGAGAGAAAAAUAUUUUCCCUCGUUUGGAUUAAAACUUGAGGACAAAAAAAGAACAGAAACAGAAAAAAAAGUUCUUCAUAAUGUCAAUUUGUUUUCUCUUCAAACUGGAGAGAGAGAGAGAGAUUGCUUUUCCUUCUUUUUUUUGUCCAAACAACACGAGAAAGUUACAUUCAUUUCAUUAUCUUUACCAAGGUAAUUUAUAGGAUAGUAGUAACUUAUCUUCCUGUUUCAGUGCCUUCUAUUUUUGGAUAGUCAUAAAUCUCAACCUGAAGUUUGAUAUUUUUCCCGUUCAUUUCCAUUUUUUGUGUUCUAACAGAAUAAAUACCUGCCUUGCAUCAGAUGAGGCGUUGUAUGAACCUCUCUCUCUCUCUCUCUCUCUCUCUCUCUCUCUCUGUGCAUGUAUCUCCUUGUCACAUGUUCAUUGGUAUUAGAUAAUAGAAAGGGAUAAUUAGAGGGGUGCGAUUGAAAUUGCCCCUAAUAGAAAUAGAGGUUCCACAGUAUCAGUGUGAAAGCUACUUAGACACUGAACUGAGCAGCUCAUUGAUUCUUUUGGUUAUUACUUGCCAUUUAACCCACUUAACAAAACUUUUUUCUAUUAACACUUUUUUUUUCUCAUAAUUGUCCCUCCAGUACCUAAACGAAAAGCCCGAGGAGCGCCGGCAAGACCUGACCUUCAUUCCUCUCGCACCCGCAUGUGUCGUAAGUUCUCCCACCAGUUAAUACCCUGACAACUAUUUACCAUUCUCGACCACUAAUUAAAUAAUUUUUGCUCUUUUUAUUUUUUUAUUUUUUUUUUUUUUGUCACCAGGUUUUUCGAGUGCUAACUCCGGUGUACGCGACCCUUCUUCCCUUCGGUCCGUUCCUUUGGAGAAUAUUCUGGGUUCUUUUAUGGUCGAGCUUGACCUACAUCAUGCUUGCCAUUUGCAAGAUUUUAGUCGGGCUGAGCCUCCGCCGGCUUGCCACUUGGUACGUAAAUCUCCGGCUCGAGAGAAAACAGCACGUGGACUGAAGAAAGGUUGCCUUAUAAGGUUGGUUUCUCUCUCUAAAAAUUAGCGCGAAGUUUCAUUUAUUACAUUGAUUACGAUCGCUCACCAAAAGUAAAAAUAGAGAAGCAUACUGAUUCCGUUCACACAUGUACAUGGGGAACUUUACAUUUCAAAGCAUUCUUGUAUAUUGUUGCGAUUCUCAUACAUAGCAAAAAAAAAAAAAUUAAUUUUCGUUAUCAAGUUUCAUUUGCAUGAAAUAAAAUGAUAAUCCUUAUAUAAAUCUGCAAUAGAAGGAAAAUUAUGAUUUUUUCUUUUCUUUUUCCGUAUUUGGAGCACCGAAAAGGUGCUCUGAAUCAACGAAUGGUCCAGAUGAUUAUGAGCACUUGUUCGAUGCCCCGAAUUCCCGAGUGUUUAGCAUAAUUUAAGAAGAUUUUAUGCCUUGUGAACCAAAUUUUCUCUAUAUGUAAUGGUUUGUUUUGCAAAGCUUGUUUGUUUUUCUUCUUCUUCUUCUUCUUCUUCUUCUACUUCUUUUUUGGUUGUGUGUCUGUCGCAUAAUCUGAUUUGCUUUGCCUUACUUCUUGAUUAGUGUUGCAUUAACUUGUUUGCGGAAAUUUGUGUCAAAAUGAUAUAUAAUUUCUUACUUUGAACACCAUUUUGUUGUUAGCUUUUUUUAAAGGGUAAACUUCAAUUUGGAUCCCUGAGGUGUACCCUUUUUUUUUUUUACUUUGUCAUCCUGUUAUUCAAAAAGUUUUACUUAAUUACUUUGUGACUUUAUUUUCGCUUCACUGAAAACAAAUAGUCAAAUAGGAUAGUAAAGCAAAAUUUUUCAAAAACCUUAGGUUGAUAUCUUGGUUAACAGUAGAUCCUUACAAUGAAAUUAGAAUAAAAUUACAAAAUAGUUAAGUAUAACUUUUUAAAUCAUGUGAUGAUAAAAUAAAAGCACAUUAAACCACAGGGUAGCCAAAUGCAACUUUUUUUUGAAUCACAGAAUGGUAAAGUGGAAAUACAACUUUUUGAAGUUUAUCCCUUCUUUUAAUAGAUAUAUAGCAAAAAAUAGAGAGAGUUUUAUUUUUUCCGUAUGAUCUGUAUGGUUAAUCCAUAACCGAGUUCUUUAACUCUCAAAAGAAAGAAACUUGAAUAUUUUGAUACGCCCAUAGAUCUAGUUUGGUAAUGCCGUAGCCAAAAAUUACCUACAUUGUAUUUUGGAUGGUCGAAUGCUUUUAUAGCACUUUUUUUUCUUUUUUCUUUUUUUUUUCUGUGCUAUAAAAUUGCCGUGGCAAUUGUUAUUACAGAAGCAUGUAAGUGGGUGGUUGUUAUUGUCGUAUUUUUAUGACAUAAAAAAAGACAGAUGAGAAGUACUUAAAAAUUUUUGGACUUUUCGGAGUAUAAAAUAUGAUGAUUUUGAUCAUCACAUUACCAAACUAGGUCCUAGAGAAAGGACUUGGGAACAUACGCAAACGUGUUUCUUAGUUUGCUUUUGAGAAUUGAGGCUGUUGGCUUAAAGGGCCAGCAUUUUGUCCUGUAGCGGAAAGUCAGGUUGAAUUUUGUUAUGUUCGAAAUGAUACGGGCUAAAUUGGGUCAAGUCAUAUUCGAAGUCGCAUAAGGCUGGUUAUCGAGAUUCGUGAGCAUUGUGUCAGUAUGCUUGAAGUGAAUUAGUUGUGUAUUUCUAAAGCUCGAAUUUUGGAAAUUAAUGAUUAAUGCUAACGAUCCGACAAAGGCCAUCUUCUAACCAGCGAAAUGAGAUUCAUCUACAAAUGUGAAUUGAGAUUCAUAUACGAAUGUGACCCUAAGACUCAUGAAGAGACUACGUCUAUUUCCACCAAGAGUACAAUGUUCCUUUUAAUAAAUCGAAAAUGGAUUAUCUAAGGAUCCAUUUGGUAUUGUGGCCAAUAUAAUUGUAGUAGGCAAACAUAGUAGGGGCCAUAGUAAACAAAUAUAUAUAUAGAGAGUUGAGCUAUGAUACUUUUACAAGUAUCAUCAUCAUGAUGCUAUUAGGUUUUAAGCCAUUGGAUCUAUUUUUUGAUUAUUAAUAGCCCUUGGAUUAAACACUAUUCCACCUGCCACCACCUACCACCAUCUACCACGAUCAUCUCAACCUCACAUCUCUCCAUCCAAGGGCUAAAAACACACAAGUAUCACCCCCAUGAUACUUUUACAAGUAUUCUAGCCCUACUCUAUAUAUAUAUAUAUAUAUAUAUAUAUAUAUAUGGCCGGGGCUACUAUAUUCUUAUGAAUAUAGAACCCUUUGUACUCAUAAAUUUUUAACCGUUGAUUGAUGGGAUGUGUGCUUAGGAUGAUGGUGGUCCUUACUUAAAAUGAUAGUGGUCUCCUAGGGUUGAGUGGGUAGUUGGUUGAAUAGUAUGAUCUAACGGGUGGAAAUGAUUAUGGAAUAAAUCUAAGGGUCGAAAAUUUAUGAGUAUAUAAGGGAGCCAAUACUCAUAAAAGUAUAGUAGCCGGACUCAUAUAUAUAUAUAUAUAUUCGAGCUUUUCGAGCUUUUCGAGCCUAAUUCGAACGAGCCGAGUAAUACUCAAGUUCGNAUAAUGAUAAAAUUUAAAAUAUUAUUUUUCAACUGAAUGUAACCAAAUAAAUUAUUUAUAAUUACAACGAUUUUUACUACAUCGAACUAAAUAGGAUCCAUAAAGUUGCAACUGCUGUAUUUUUAAUUGCAUGUAUUUUUAACUACACUGUAUUUAUAAUUACAUCAAACCAAACAUGAGUGCUAGUGCACCUCAUAAAAUUUACUAUUCAAGAAAUUAAUAAGAUUAUGCCAUGUGCUCUAUUUGACCCUAGUGAAUUAUUAACAAAGUUUUUGUUUUAAUUUAAUUUAAUUUUUUCUUUUUAUUUAUUUAUUUAUUUUUAUGGUUUCUUUUUACACAUGUGUAACAUCUAAAUAGUUUUGCACAGAGAUAAUAAUUAUGAGGCUGCUUCCGAAGGAAAAUGAUUUACUUCAAAUUCUCAACAUUGACUAUGGUCUAAUGCCUUGUUUACCCUUGCUGUGAUGCAAAAGUGCAACACUGGGCAAUUUUUUUUUUUUUUUUUUUGAGAAAAGGUUUUUCAUUAAAAGUUCUUUUUUCAUUUUUUUUUUGUCUAUUUGGUUUUAAGAAAAAUUAGCAUUUUUUAUUUUUUCAAAGUUUAUUGAAAAUUGGCAUUUUUAUUUUUCUAAAAAAAUAGAGAAAAAAUUACUAGGUUUUCUUGAAAUCUGGAAAACUAACUUUUCAAAAAUGCUUUUUUUUUUUUUUAACCAAACAGAUAGAAAAUUAAAAUUUUUUGGAAAAACUUCAAAUACCAGCCCGGUAGUUUCACACUUUCUCACUUUAGUAUCAUGUGAUUUAAAGUGUAUCGCUUUCGUAUCCUAUGGUUUUUUUUUUUUUUUUGUUAUUCCUUUUCACUAAUUUUUUUCGUUAAAUUAGUGACAAAGUUAAAACUAAAGGAUACUAAAGUGAAUAUUCGAUAAACUAUAGAUGGGAUAUUUGAAGUUUCUUUUAUAUAUGAUUAAAUAAAAAGUUAAUUGAGGUGCUGACGAAAAGAAAAAAAUAAAACCAUAAAAUAGGGGUGGUAUUUGAAAUUUACCCAAAUUUGUUUCCGAAAGUAUUUUUCAUUAAAUUUGUUUUCUUUUUCUUUUUUUUUUUGAGAAACGAAACAAUCUCUUAAGAUAAGUUCAGAGUGUUUCGGUGCAUUGAUUGAUUGAUAGAGUAUUUUUUUUUCUCACAUUAUAGCCAAAAAAAUUAAAAAAAAAUUCUGUUUCCUAAGGGUUCGUUUGGAAUUGCGGAAAGAUUGCGUUAUGAACGCAAUCGCGAUGAGUAGGUUAUGAUAUAUUUUCUGCGGUCCCACCGGAGAACGCAUAAGCAUAUUCCUAUAUAUUUUUUUUUCAACUCUAUUUUAUCUAAUAGCGUUAGAUAGAUCUCAAUACCAAAUUAAGCCUAAGUAGGAUAAUAAUAAUUAUUAAAAUUCCUGUGAAGUGAUACUUUUGACUUAUUAUUGUGAGUUUAAAGCAUGCUAGUUAUUAAUAAAAGAAAAAAAAACAAAAAAAAUAUAACCGAAAAAAACCGUCGAAUGAGUUAAAUAUGGUACCAAAUAAUACUAUUUAGUUACCUCUUAUAACAUCUCAAAAGAGAAUAUUAAAAUAGUACAAUAACUCCUCAAUAAUUGUUCAUUUUCAUUUCAAUUAUUAUUAUUAGUAGGGUCAAGUGAACCCCACCAUGUAGCAACAAAACAAAUAAUUUCUCUUUCCUUCUUUUUGGGAAACUCACUUGUUUGUCUCUCAUUUCAAAAAUGGAACUUCAUAAAAAGUUUACUUGAAAAAAAAAAAAAAAUCAAAAUAGGGCUCACAAAAAUAUAGUUUUUUUAAAAAAUUUAAGUACCGUGACAUGGGAUUGUAUCUGAAACUUGCUGGCACGGUACGACACGAUGCGUGUCGGACCGUGACAAUGCGUGUCGGUCAUAAAAAAUAUAUGUAUGCUGACAUGUCAUACUAUGAAAUAUUUAUUUUCUUUAGUAAUAAAAUAUGUCAAUCAUUUAUUAUAUAUUUUUAUCAAAAUUUUUAAACUUUAUUGAGAAAAUUACUCACUGAUUUAAAGAAUAGAGGAUUUUGAACUGUGCCAUCGGUACGAAGGCUGUAUCGUACGAUGGAUACGGCUCCUACCGAUUAGCACUUAAAUCCUUGGUUUUUUCAUUUCCGCUCUCCAUUGAGAACUUACAUGUGUUCUAAAAAUUGAUGUCUAAUCAAAUCAAUAUACACAAUGAUUAAUUUAUUGAAUGGACAUAUAAAUUAGGAGUUUUUACUUAUUUAUCUCGGAUUACUAUUUAAAAUUUUCAAAUUUAUACUGAAAUUAUCAAAAUAUUCUUCUAAAUCCAAGUUUUAUUAGUAAAUCUUAGGAGUUUUGAAAACAUUUGAAGGGAUCUUUAGAAAUGUAUACGAACAUUUUGAUCAACCAGAAGUAUACUAGAUAUUUUCAAAGUUUUAAAAAAUAUAUUAGAUAUUAUUCCUAUAAAAAUACUUGUACGGACCAGUGAACAUACACAAUGAUUAACAUAUAGGAGAGGUUUCUAUUUAUUUAUCUUUUACUACUAUUCAAAAUUAAAAUUAAAGGAUACUAAAUUGAAUAUUCGAUAAAUUAUAGGUGGGAUAUUUGAAAAUUUUGGUAUAUGAUUUAAUAAAAAGUUAACAGAAGGGAUGACGAAAAGUGAAAAAUAAAAUUACAUGAUACUAAAUUGAUACACUUUACUAAAAUAAAAAAGUUCGAUUUGAAAAUUUUGGUAUACAAUUUAAUGAAAAGUUAACAGAAGAAAUGGCGAAAACGAAAAAUUAAAUUACAUGAUACUAAAUUGAUACACUUUAUUAAAAUAAAAAAGUUUGAAAUUACGGGGUGGGAUUUAAAGUUUAGUUUAAUUUUUAAUUUUUUUACGUAAAGAAUGUGGGGACUUGGAGUAUAAUUCACGGACCAAUGAGGUGGAGCCACGUGUCACUAGCACUCACCGCUCCCAACUGACCAACAGGCGGAGUCCGUACAGCUCGCUUCGGCGCCCCGAAACUCGCGCUCAAAUUGGCGGGAACCCGCGUCCCCGCGCCACGUCACGUGAGGGCCCCACCACCCGGGCCCCUACGCGGGGCCCACCCGAAAAUUAAAAUUAUAUUAAAAAAAAUAACAACCCCGUUACGGUUUCCUCGGAACACCGUCGCGUGGUUUCCGUGGAAGCCUCGUUCGACGGCUCCGAUUUUCGCACAGCGGAAACUAACGGCCGUGAUCGUUCCACGCCUUCCCGCGGUGCAUCACGAAUAAUUGUUGCGUGCACCAGGUGUACACGAAUUAAAAAAAUAGUAUUUUCUAAUUAUGGGAAAAAAAGUAAAAUAGGUAUUUUACAAAAUAGUUGAUGAAAUAUAAAAUACAGCAUUGUUUUUAUUUUUUUAAUUUAUAUUUUAUUAAAUUAAAUUAUAAUUUUAAAGCACUUUAGAUUAGAGCUCAGCGAUUACGUGUACGGAUACGCCUGGCGCACGUAAACUUUUCAGAAAUAUCAGCCGAGAUCUACGGUCGAGAUUUUCCCGCUCCGUCCCUUUCCCUCCGUCCUUUCCAUUUCUGAUCAUAAAAAACCGAGAAAGGAAUUCGGCAAAAAUGCGCCGAGCCCCCUUAACUAAAUUCUAUUUUUAUUUCACCCCCUCUCCUUAACUUUAUUUCUUUCAAUUUAUGACCCAUUUAACUUUUCAAAAAUUCCAAAUCUGAAUAAUAAUUUUAGUUAUUCUCCAGUAAAUAAGAUACAUAAUAAUAAGCGACUAUUAUUAUUGGAGACAGUACGAAUAAAAAGAAUGAUAAACUUUAAAUACUGUUUCUUUAGUUUCACACUUUCUCACUUUAGUACCCUGUAGUUUUAAUUUUCUCUUUUCAUCAGCUCCUCCGUUAAUAUAUCGUUAAAUUAUAUACAAAAAACUCCAGAUAUCCCACUUAAGUUUAUCGAAUAUUUAUUUUAAUAUCUUUCGGUUUUAACUUUGUCAUUGAUUUAACAAAAAUAAUUAGUGGGAGAAUAAUAAAAAAAAUAAAAUAAAAUUACGAGAUACUAAAUUGAUACAUUUUAAACCACGGAGUACUAAAAUGAAAAAAAAAAGUGCGAAAUAUUUAAAACUUUCCUUAAAAAGGAAAGAAAAGAAAGUCCAGGGGCCUUUUUCGGAAAUUUCAAAAAUUGAGGGUUCUUCGCACAAUUUUUUUCCGACUCGAACCCCUUCAUAAAAGAAAGAAUCCGAGCAUUUCCCCUUAUUAUUAUUAUUAUUAUUAUUAAUUAUUUCUUUUUUUCCCCUCUUUCUCUCUCCUCAAGCAUCGUCGCCGCCACUUCAUUAAACCCCUCAACCCAUUUUCAAAGCGACGCCGAAAAAAAAAACAUGGUAUAUAUUUUUUCUUUUAUUUUCUUUUUCCCCCUCUCUCUCUCUCUCUCCCUAAUUUUCCCCCCAAUUUAUUUUCUUUAAACAUGAUCUGAAGCUAGGGUUUCUUUCCCCAAACCCAUCUCAAAUCAUUUAUUGGAUUGGAUUGAAAUUGAAAUUGAAUUUGAAUUUUUUUUUUUUUUUUUUGAAGGUUGGGUACGUAAUUCACUACAAGAAUAAUAAUAAUAAUAAUAACAAUAAUAACAAUAAUAGUAGUAGUAGCAGCAGCGAGGGCAUCGGCGUCGGCGUCGGCGACAUCAUCAUGGUAAAAGGCAAAGGCAAAGGCAAAGGCAAAGGCAAAAAAGAGGGCGGGAAGAAGAAGAAGAUGAUGAGGAGGAGGCGGGGGGGGGAGUGCGGGGCGCACGGGGGGAUGCGGAAGGGGGAGGAGAACUUGUUCUGCGUCGACUGCAGGCGCAGGAUGUGCUCCCACUGCCAGGGCCACGCCGGCCACACCCUGCUGCAGAUUCGCAAGUACGUCUACCGGGACGUCGUCCGNUAUUCACAAAUCAAUAAAAAAAAACCAAAGUAAAAAAAAAAAAGAAAAAGUAGAGAGAUAGAGAGAGAGCAAGAUAUAAAUUAUUUUUUUUUAUUGAUUUGUGAAUAAAUUGUAUCAAAAUUCACCAAAUUUUGGAUUGAGUGGAAACUCUGAAUUUAUCAAAUUACGAGAUACUAAAUUGAUACAUUUUAAACCACAGAGUACUAAAAUAAAUAAAAAAAAAUAAUUUAUAUCUUGCUCUCUCUCUAUCUCUCUACUUUUUCUUUUUUUUUUUUACUUUGGUUUUUUUUUAUUGAUUUGUGAAUAAAUUGUAUCAAAAUUCACCAAAUUUCGGGUUGAGUGGAAACUCUUUGGGGGAUGUGUUUGUUUUGUUUCAUCGAAAGUGGAAGUAUAUGGAGUAGUUUUUUUUAUCAUAAAUAAAUUAUAUUGUAUUUAUCAAAUCACGACAUACUAAAUUGAUACAUUUUAAACCACAUAGUACUAAAAUAAAAAAAAAAACAAUCUAUCUCUCUCUCUCUCUAUCUCUCUACUUUUUUUUUUUCUUUGGUUUUUUUUUUUAUUGAUUUGUGAAUAAAUUGUAUCAAAAUUCACCAAAUUUUGGAUUGAGUGGAAACUCUGAAUUUAUCAAAUUACGAGAUACUAAAUUGAUACAUUUUAAACCACAGAGUACUAAAAUAAAUAAAAAAAAAUAAUUUAUAUCUUGCUCUCUCUCUAUCUCUCUACUUUUUCUUUUUUUUUUUUUACUUUGGUUUUUUUUUAUUGAUUUGUGAAUAAAUUGUANUAAAUUCAAUAUAAUUUAUUUAUGAUAAAAAAAAACAAUCUAUCUCUCUCUCUCUCUAUCUCUCUACUUUUUUUUUUUCUUUGGUUUUUUUUUUUAUUGAUUUGUGAAUAAAUUGUAUCAAAAUUCACCAAAUUUUGGAUUGUUUGGAAACUCUUUGGGGGAUGUGGAAAGUGGAGAGAUAUGGAGUAGUUUUUUUUUAUCAUAAAUAAAUUAUAUUGAAUUUAUCAAAUUUUGAAUUGUUUGGGAACUUAACUUUUCUUCGGGAUGUAUUUGUUCCGUUUUACUGGAAGUGGAGAGACGUGAAGUAAUUUUCGGUCAUAAAUAAAUUAUAUCAAAUUUUGAAGUGCUUAGAAACUUGUCGGUUUGUUUUUCUGAAAGUUGAGAGGAAUGAAUUAGUUUUCAGUCGAAUAAAUAAUAUCGAAUUUACCAAAUUUUGGGAAAUGCGUUUACUUUGUUUGACUGAAAGUGGAGAGAUGUGAAGUAGUUUUCGGUCGUAAAUAAAUUAUAUCAAAUUUACAAAAUUUUUGAUUUUAUUGGAAUUUACAAAAUUUUUGAUUUUUUUAGAAAUUUUUCUGGAUGUUUUUGUUCUGUUUCACUAAAAGUGAAGAGACAUAAAGUAGUUUUCGGUCGAAAAUAAAUUAUAUUGAAUUUUUCAAAUUUUGGAUUGUUUGGAAACAUUUCGGGAUUUGUUUGUUUUGUUUCACUGAAAGUGGAUGAGAGACAUGAAAUAGUUUUCAGCCAUCAAUAAAUUAUAUCAAAUCUAUCAAAUUUUGAAUUGUUUGGAAACUUAUCGGCUUUCGUAGUUUUCGAUCAUAAAUAAAUUUAAACUAUCAAAUUUUUGGACUGUUUGGAAAUUUGUUGGAAGCGUUUGUUUGUUUGUUUGUUUGGCUUCACUGAAAGUGGAGAAGAACGAAAUAGUUUUCGGUCAUAAGUAAAUUAUAUCAAAUUUAUCAAAUUUUGGGUUGUUUGAAAACUUAUCAGGGGACGUGUUUGUUUCACUAAAAGUGGAUAGGAAUGAAGUAGUUUUCUAUUAUAAUGUUUGUUGUUUGAUUCAUCGUAAAUUUAAAAUCCCCAAAAUAUAAUUAUCGAUAACUAAAAUAAAAUAUUAAUUAAUAUCUCAUAUUUUUACUAUUUGAUUUGUUUAUUUUCUACCACACAAACAGCAAAAUUGAAUAAAUUUUAGUCCAUAGCUCUACAAACAGACAGCGAAGGAAAAGUAAUUUUUACCUGCAUUUUAGUUAAUUGAAAAUUUUACUUAAACCUGAAUUUAGUUUCAAUGAAAUAAAUAGACUAAUUUGGAAUUUUCAUGGAGAUGUAUUAUGUGAAGAAAAAUAAAAUAUAUUGAAGAUCCCCUCAAUUAUAGGCUAUUUGGAAAUAGAUUAGUCAAAUUUUAUUUUAUUUUUUUCAUUGAGACUUUGUGGUGUCCUAUUUCUUAGAAUUGAGUAAUUUUAGGGGAAGAGGAAUAAAAAUGUUAUCAAAUUUAUUGAUGAUUUUUAUCAAAUUGUUAAUAAUUGAGUGAGUUAUUAAAUUUGAUAAUAAAAACCUAAAUGAAAAAAAAUAGAUAAUAAGGGGGGGUUUAGUUAUCAAAUUGUUUUCUUUUCUUUUCUUUUCUUUGUUUUACUUUUUUUAAUUAAUUAAUUAAUUGUGUGACAUGUUUUUAGCCCUAUACUGUGAAUGGUGCUAAGGUGGUGCAUCUGAACCCUCGCGACAAAUCUACACCGUCCAAACCCAACUCCGGCGGCCCCGCGUGCCGGAUCUGCCGUCAAAGCGUUUGCAGCGAUCUGAGCCGCUACUGCUCCGUCGCCUGUAAGGUAGUUUUGUAAUUCCACCUCUCUUAUCCACAAACUUUUUCAUAACUCAACACUUUUUCACUCACGUCACAAUUCGAGUACAGCUAUCCGAAGAAGCAUCAGAAGAGGAAGAAUCAGGACAGUCGGAUGACAAUGCUGCAGAGCGAUCGGAGCCGUCGAUUCACGAUCCGACGUCCGAGCUUGACGAGAACGGUACCGAUAAGGAGGCGGACUCGUCUCUCGUGUACUCGCAGAACCAGCAGCAGCAGCAGGAGCAGCAACAACAGCCGUACGAUUCAGGGGAGGAGAAUCAGGGCUCUCGAAAGCAGCGGCGCAAGGGGGUUCCCCGGAGGGCCCCUGAGUUCUAGCAGAGGAGGAAACUUUUCGGUGUGAAUUUCGCGAAUUUCGCGCGAAAUUCGUAAUUUAUUUGUCGAAAUGAUUAUAAUUUAUUUUGGAAAUAUUUAUAGUGAGGGUCCUUAUAAUGUUGUGGAGUUUUUGUCCCUAAAUUUUGUGGUCAUGGGUCCCAUAAAUUGGGCUGUACAGCAUUCAAGAGAGAGAGAGAGAGAAAGAGAGUGUGUGAGUUCUACUUUUGGUUUGGACAUAUAGUUACCUUUUUUUUUCAUUCAUAUAUUUUAAAUUAUUUUUAUUUAUUUUUUGAGAUCAUUAAUUUGCCGCGUGAUAACACCUUCAUUUCAUUUCAAAGUUUACUGGGAUUUAUAUUGAAACCAUCUACUCUUAAGCAUAACUGGUCUAUCAGAGAAAAGUCAAAAUAACGUCUGCGCCAGCACUAUCGAUUGUUUGAUUGAUAGGGCACAUUUAUCAUGGGAAACAAUUCGUGUGGCUGAUUUUACUUGUGGGCAAUCGUCCGUUGUUUGAUUGAUAGGGCACAUUUAUCAUGAGAAACAAUUCGUGUGGCUGAUUUUACUUGUGGGCAAUCGUCCGUUGAUGAUUUGAUUUGUACAACAUUCGUUUAAUAAUUUCUUCUUUUUAUUAGAAAAUUUUUUGCUUGAAAUGACGCAUACAUAGCUAUCCAUCAGUUGUUUGAUUGAUAAGAACACCUUUGUUAUGAGAAACAAUGCGCGGGUUUGAUUCUACGUAUGUACAAUCACCCGUUGAUGGAGUUUGAUUUGUACAGCAUUCGGUUAAUAAUACCUUAUUUCUAUUAAAGAACUUUUGAUUGAAAUGAUGUCUGCAUAGCUAUCCAUCAAUUAUUCAGUUGAUAGGACACCUUUGUCAUCAGAAACAAUUCGCAGGGUUGAUUUUAUCUGCGUACAGUCAUCUAUUGAUGAUCUGAUUUGUACAACAUCCGGUUAAUAAUACCUCCUUUUUAUUAAAAUUUUUUUGCUUAAAAUGACGUCUACAUAGCUAUUCAUCGAUUGUCCGGUUGAUAGGACACCUUGAAACAAUUUGCGGGGUUGAUUUUAUCUGCGUAUAGUUAUCCAUCAAUUGUCUAAUUUGUAAAACAUCCUAUUAAUAAUACCUCUUUAUUAGAAAACUUUUGUUUGAAAUGGCGUUCGCGCAGCUAUUCGUCGAUUGUCUGGUUGAUAGGACACCUUUGUUGUGAGAAAAAAUAGUCAGGUUGAUUCUAUCUGUGUACAGCUAUCCAUCGAUAAUCUGAUUUGUACUGCAUCCGAUUAAUAAUACAUCUCUAUAGCCGUCCAUCGAUUGUCUGGUUGAUAGGGCACCUUCAUUACGAGGGACAGUUCGUGGGUUUAAAUCUAUUUAUGUGCAGUGAGUCAUCUAUUAAUAGUCUGAUUGGUACGAUAUCUUUCUUUAUAAGAAAUAAGUCACGGAAAUGAGCUCACCUGAAUAUAUUUGUGUGGGGACCGGAGAGCAUUCUUAUUAAAAAAAAUAAAGGCUUAUAUGCAUAAUUGGCUUUAGUACAAAAUUUGUGGGUAAUUAGUGGGAGAUUAGUUGUAGUUUUAAAAGUAGGGUCCAUGAAGUUGCAAUCUAAUGAUUCGUUGUGCCUAAACCUUUCUAAUCGGCUAAUGCGAUCCCGCCGAUCAGCAGGGUCCAUGUUGUUUUAUGCGUAUAUAGAAUUGAAAAGUUAUUUUGGUUGUUUGGUUUCAUAACUCACAUCCCGUAGAAACUCAAUCUUUCUGGAAAAACGCUCACUUCAGACCGGAGUCAAUUACGUAAAAAAAAAAAAAAAGUGAGAUGGAAAAAAGAAAAUAGUCAUUUAUCUCUCACUAACUCUAUCUUUUACUGUCUUCUACAUAAUUCACUUUCUGAUACAAAUAGCAGAAUAAGAAAAACUUUAGUUUCGCAGCUAUACAAACAAAUAACAGCAGAAAAAUAACUUUUAUCCGAACUCUAGUUCAUUCGAAAGUCUAUUUUAACCUGCAUUUCAUCUUCCAUAAAAUGAAUUGGCCAACACCAUUAUUGUUAUUUUACUUAUGAGGAUAAGUAUAAAGUAUUAGAGUCUUUUGUAGUCUAGCUAAUCAAUGUUUAGUGAUAUUUUAACUAGUUUUUUUUUUUAAUUAUUGUUAAGAUUUUAAAAUUUAAUUUUUAAAUUAGUUCAAAUUGAUUCUGAGUAACAAAUAACUAGUUUUCGCAUUAAGUGCAAUUAAAUUAGUGUCUUAAUUCUUCUAAUCUAAUUAUGUAUAUAUAAAGGAAAAAAAGAAAAAAAAAAGUUGUUUACAUUGAAAUUAUGAAGUGGCUGCACCAACAUUCAACUUUAUAUUCCACUAUCCAAAAUAAAAUAAAAAUAAAAAUAAUAAUAAAAAGUAGAUAAUAUAUUGCUUAUAAUUCUUUUAUUUAAUAUAUUUGUUUAGAAAUUUAAAAAAUAAAAAUAACCUUUUUUUUCCUUCCAAAUUCUAUUUUCAUAAAGGCAUAUAGGACUUACUCAAACUAUGAACUAUUUUAAAUCAACCGCCCAGCCUUUUUAAAAUUUUUAAUUUUACUUUGUAAUUUUUCAGUUUAUUUGAUUUGAAUAUGUUAACGACGCUUUUGAUGACCAGUACACUUCAUGUAAUUUCGCCACUAUAAAUUUAUUAAAAUAAGUAAUUGACUUAAAUUUUAAAGUCGAAGGACGAUUGACCGACUUAAAUCAAAUAAAUUGAAAGGUUAGAGAGUAAAAUCAAAAUUCUGAAUAAUUAGAUAAUUGAUUCAAAAUGGUCUACACUAUCUCACAUUAAACCAGAAAAUACAAAAAGAAUAAAAAUUCGAUAACCUGAAAUUUAAUAAUCUUUCUUUUUUUAAAAAAAUUGUCAUCUAUCACUUGACUCAGUGCAUUAUAAGUUAACCAAUCAUGACAAUAAAAAAAUAUCUUCCAUCAGUUUAUUAAAUUACAUAAAAUUAGUAUUUUAGAAAAUUUUUGAAAAAAAGACAGCGAUGCUAAACCAGUAGUUAACUUUUCAAAUCAUACAUGUGUGUAGAAUUGAAAAAAAAUUUGUUGACUAAAACAAUAUGUGACCCCUCACCAUUCAUAUUCAUCGGCGUGAUCUCACUGCCUUCCUUAUUUUCCGUGUGAAUCUCACGACAACCCCGCAAAUCGUAUAAAUUUUAUGAUUUUAAAAAGUUAGUUAAAAAUUUAGUUGAAAAAAUUGUGUCAUAUAAUUUAACUGAUUGAACCAGUGAACUUUGAACCAACAAAUUUUCCAGCUUCAUUCACAAUAAUAAAACAGUAUAUAAACACUAAUAAAAUGUAAGCGGUGUACAAUUGCAUGGUGCACCGGGUGCAGGCAAAAUAGAUACACCUGGUUGUGCGGAUUCCGAGGAGGUGGGUCCCACCUUAUUUGUUUUUGUGAUGUGUUAUUAUCCUUCGAUUAUUAUAUAUAUAUUUUUUAAAACAAAUUUUUUUUUUGUGAGUUUGUUUUCAAAACGUGAUUAGUACGGAUGUUUUGUUUAAAGAAUUUAUAAUUUAGUAAUUUAGAAUGUAUUUAGGCUUAAUUAUACUUAAGACCACACUUUACUUUACACAAUUCUUUUUUCCCACUUUUCAUAAUACACUAUUUUUUUAAAAAAACUAAAGGUGCUGCUCAAUUAUCUAUUUUUAAAUUUUUUUUAUACUGUAACCAAUAAACCUAUUCGCUGUUGGAUUAUUAUUAUUUUUAAAAUAUGGGUUUUUAUGAGUUUGUUUUCAAAAUGUGAUUAGUAUAGAUUUUUUUUUGUUUGUUUUAGAAUUUAGUACUUAGGAAUUUAGAAUAUAUUUUAUUAUCCUUGUUUUAAUAUAGAUAUUUUUAACUUUCUACAUAAUUCAUUAAAAUUUUAUAGGGUUCCAAUUUGAUAUUGAGAUCCAUUUAACGCUAACAGAUAAAACGAAGUUAAAAUAAAAAUAUAUAAAGGUAUGGUUUACAUUAAUAUGGAAUACUAUAUUACGUUCAAAAAUAAAUAUUUUAUUUUUAUUGUAUUUUUAUCUGCAUGUAAUGUAGCUUUUCGUAAUCCCAAAUAAAGCUUUUAAGGAUAGAGCAAUGUAAUGGGCUCGAUUCUAUUAGGCCUAUAUCACGGCCAAAGCGUGCAAUGUAGCGGCCCAUAUUCCUUCAGCACGGCACGGCACGGCACAGCAUAACAUGAUCAGCACCAGGCGGAUACAUAACUUGAACUCCGUACCUCCUACUGUGAUAAUACGUGAAACAACCGUUGUACUCUAAAAGCUUAAGAGACGUUUAGGUUCGAGACUUUUUAUAGGUGUAUGACGUGGAUAUGAAUUAAAUGGAAGGAAAUUAAUAAUGCUAGAGGUUUGAUAUUGACUCGAACUCAGAAUCUUCUAUUUUGAUACCAUAUAAAACAACCGCUAUACUCUAAAAGUUUAAGCUGUUAGAUGACGGUGUUUAUAUAUUUUUAUAUUUAACAAAUCCGACUGUGAAUUUGAAAAUUAUUGCGUAUGGAUUGAAGUUUCACUGUUCGUUUCAGAUUUGGAAUCGAAAUAAGAUCUCGAGUUAAAAAGAUUUUCAGCUUCAGAUUAUUUAAAUCCAAAACUAGUUUUAAUGUGUUUUCAAAGUCCAUAUUUAAAUUUUUUUUUUUUCAUUCAUAAUUUUUCUUUUUCUUUUGUAAAUCUUAUUUAGAAAUUUGUAGUAGCUGUGAAAGAACCGUUGUACUCUAAAAGCUUAAGCGUUACGUCUGGGCUCGAGACUUUUUAAUCGGCUCAUGACGUGAGCUUGAAUUAAAUGGGAGGAAAUUAAUAUGUUAGGAGCCUGGCGUGACUCAGAACUCAGAAACUCCUUCUCUGAUACCAUGUGAAACAACCGUUGUACUCUAAGCCCUUGUUUGGUUGGGGGUUAAGGGGUGGAAGCUAACCCCACCUCAAAUAAAUUAUUCCGGAUUAGUUAAUCCCACCUAACCCCACCAAACUCCAACAGUCCAACCAAACACUAUUUUCUAUUCAUAAUAACCCACUAUCUUUCUUAUCACACAUACUCCAACCAAUCAUUAUUCUUCUUUAUCAAUUAUUAUAUUCUUAUCCCACCUACUCCAACCAAACACUAUUUUUUAUUAUUCUAGACUAACUCCAACCCUCAACCAAACACAAAAAAACUUUAACCCCACUUUAAUCCUGAACUUAACUCUAUUCCUGGAAUAGCUACUUUUUCCUUAACUCCGAACCAAACGGAGGCUAAAAGUUUAAGCGGUUAGAGAACGGUGUUUAAAAAUUUUUAUAUUUAACAGCUUAAACAUGCAUCGACAAAUCCUCCUUUUUCUUUUAUUUCCAUAUAUUUCUCAAUUAUCUGAUUCAUUUACGUAUCCAUCUAAAACUGAACAUUCCAAAUUUGAUUUUAUGGAAUAUGGAUUUAAAUUUUAGUAUCGAUCAAUAUCCCAAACACGAAUAUGAAUAUAAAUUGAGCACUAAGUUUUUAAAAUCAUUGUUGGUAAAUUUCGUUACGCGCGGAUGAAUGAAAUUAAAUUGUAAGAAUUGAUUUGGAUCUCAAAAAAGCAAAUUAACAUAUUGUUUUAAGAGAUUAAGCUAUAUGUGUAGGAUGGGAAAUUAUUAAAUAUUAAAUUAAAUAUCACACAUUAAAUCAUCAAAAUUUUAUAGCAAUCAAAUAUAAUUUAGCUUAUAUUAUAUUUCCUUUAUUGCUCCAAAUUUACUAUUUGUAACAGAGUUCAAACAUUCUAUCAACAAGAUUUUGAUGAAUAGUUACAUUAAUCAAAGUAUACCUCAAACAUAUUUGAAUUUCAUUUAAUUCAUAUUUUUAACUUAUUUCGUAUACAUUUAUUUAUUUAUUUAUUGAGAGAUACCAACCAACUGAACUAAACGUUGCUGUAGCCGGAAUAUCGUCGGAACAUUUACUUGGUGAAAAUGAGCUCAACUAUUCGUCGGGGUCGCAGAAUAUAGCCGGCUUCGAGGGCUCGGUGAUCUCCACCGACCCCUCGAGCAUCUUCGCCACCUUCCCCAUCGACGGCCGCGUCUCCGCCCGAUCCUGCAAGCACCACAUCGCCGUCUUCACCAUCCUCUCCACCGUCGCAGAGUGCUCCGUUUCGUCGUAGCUCUCCAUUAUCCUCGGGUCGAGUAUCUCCCCGACGUUCUUCUCCACGUACACUUUCUCGAAAGCCCAUCGCGGAAAGUACCUGUCGAAUUCGAAAAUUAAGCUCGCUCUAUCUGCUUCUGCUUUUAGCUACAGUCAUCUCUAGCAAACGUAGUAGUAGUUUGAUAGUAUAUACCAUUCCUCGCUAUCGACAGAUUUUCUCUGAAACUCGAAGUUCCUCCUCCCGGAGACGAUCUCUAGGAGAACCAUCCCGAAGCUAUAGACGUCGGCCUUCGCCGUGAUCGGCUCUCGUUGGAUAACCCAUUCCGGCGCCAAGUACCCUCUCGUCCCCCGGAUCCGCGACAUCGUCACCUUGUCCUUCUUGGUAGCUAACUUCGACAAUCCGAAAUCCGAAACUUUAGGGCAGAAGUCGUCCUCCAGAAGUAUGUUCUCCGGCUUGAUGUCGCAGUGCAGGACCCACUCUAAGCACUCCUCGUGUAAGUAGGCAAUUGCGCGCGCGACGCCUAGGGCUAUGCGGUAGCGGAUGUUCCAGUCGAGGAGCGGGAGAGGGGGGGCGUCGGUAGCGGCGGCGGCGGGACGGCGGAAGAGGAACUUGUCGAGGGAGCCGUUGGAGACGUACUCGUAGACGAGCAUGCGCUCGUCCUUCUCGGCGCAGAACCCCCACAACCGAACCAGGUUGAGGUGGUGCAUUCGCGCGAUCACCGCCACUUCCGCCCAGAACUCCGCCUCGCCCCCGCCCACGCUGAGGAGGCGCUUCACCGCAAUCACGCGCCCGUCGGGGAGAUUCCCCUUGUAGACUAUGCCGUACCUGUCGGAUAUCGAAUACCAAAUAUCAAAAACAUCAUUCUCUGACAUUUUAAGUUAAUUUUAAAUCAAAAUAAAGUCAUUUCAAAAAGUAUCAUCAAGUAUCAAGUCUCACAAGUUCUAUUCAAUUGUACUUUUGUUCUUCAAACUCCGAAAGAGGCGAUUUCAAUGAAUGCUGAUGUUUUGUUGAUGUGACAGAAAACUUAUACUAAACGCAUCACCACCAUGUCAACUGCGCAUCGUAAAAUUUGAAGACCAAAAUAUCACGAAUCUCAAUGUUUAAGAACGAAUAGUAUAAUUUAUUCUUUUUGAAAAAAUAAAGCAACUUGAACUCAUCCUGUUUUUUUGCUAUUGUUGGGCUAGGAACCGAAUGCGGAGCGCGACAGGCCGGAUCAAGGCGUUAACCACGUCAAGUUCCUUCUGAGGAAGCAGAGUCGGGUCCUGACGUGACUCUCGAGUGCGCCACUGAUGAGUCGAAAAGCUAGAGUUUGCUAGCCUUGUAAAACUAUACACCGAGAAGGAUGCCUUAACAAGGAUGCCUUAGCGUAUCUUGGGACAACAAAGUUAACCCCACUAAAUAGGGAAGAUAAAAAGACAGUGAUUGGAGUGACUCCAGAUGAAAACUGAUUCCUGAACCUCUUUCACGCUCAUGUCACGUCGAGGUACUGCAGAAGAAAAAACUUUAAAAUCCCGAGCGGGAGCGGUGAAGUUCGGCCAAUCCAUCCUAUCCUGAAUUCUGAAUUGUUGCCCAAAAGGCUUAGCAGGUCAAGCGCGACAACGACAUCAGUCGCGAUGUGUUUUUUAGCCUUGCCAACAAUCCAGACCCUUUUGGAGCCCCCAAAGAUUCGGCUGAGGAGGGAUGAGCUCAACCGGGUUCUUCCGCAAGUAUUCACGAACUCGACUGGAUGAGCCGAGUGAUUCGGAGAUAAACUCUAACCCUAACCCUACUCUAUCAUGCUCGUAACAUCAAAAAACUAACAAGAAAAUGUACUGCAACUAGUGAGAAAAUCUACUGAAACUAACUCCUAACAGAGUUGUAGAUGCCAAAAAGAAAGGAAUUGAAAUUUGUUGUGGCCUCUUACUCGUGUGAAAGACUCCUCUUCCGGGCAUGCUUUUUCUUAUUUAUAAUUCGGGCUGCCAUUAUUUGAGUUAAUCCCGCCGUGAAAGUUCAUUCGGCCACAUCUCCAUCUCUUUUUCCUCGGAUCAUAUUUCGGCCGAUUUCUUGUUGGCUACAAAUUCAUUCCUCCAUGUAUUCAACCGCAUCUCGCUCAAAUUAUCUUUCCGUUUUAGGCAUGCGGUUUGUAGCUCCGGAUGUUCCAUGUGACGCUUUGUGUUUUGCUUCUUGUAAUUCGCUAACGCGGUUCGGACUGUUUUACCAUAUGACGCUAUUUUUAUGGCGCCGGGAGCUAGCUUAAGAGUAUUGAAUGCUGCGUGCAGAAAUUUAAAGAUAGAUAUCGUUGUUCUCCGAUAGCUUAAUAAGAGUAUUGAUCAGUGUACUGCGUGUAGAGAUUUAAAAACGCCGUUAUCAGAUAGCACAGCUUAAGCUUACCCUCCGCGGCCGACGACGUUGGAGAAGUCGGCGGUGGCGGCCUUGAGCUCGGCGUAGGAGAAGCGCUUCGGGCCGCCGCCGCCGGGCAGGAGCUCGAGCCCGAACGUGCGCGCCAUGUCGCGGUACUUGGAGUACUUCCUGAGGAAGGCCCAGAAGGAGAGCACGCCGACGAGCAGCUCGGCCGCGAACAGCCCCGCCACGGCCGCCGCGUUGCGCAGCGUGGCGCUGCCCUCCUUGGGCGGCACCGGCAGCGCCACGCGCACCGGGCAGACCGUCUCCACCGGCGCCGUCAUCCCCGUGAAAUUGCUGGCGUCCGUCUCCGACGCCGACACCCGGACGAACAUCGCCAUCGCGUUGGCCGGCGACCAGUAGCCGUCCACGAGCGCGCCGAAGUGAUUGUAGCACGUCCGGCCGCCGGUGAAGUCGUAGCUGAAUCCGACGCAGGUGGCAUUCUGCACGCAGGCCGACCGGCAGCCGUCGAAAUUGAGCGGCGAGUGUUCUGCAUACUCGUUGCCGUCUGCGACGAAGCUGACGUAGUCGAGCCGGAGGAACUUGCUGUCGGGCAGAAAGCUUCGCCGGAGGGCGCAGCUGGAGGUGCCGCCGGCGGCGGAGGAGGAGUUGCGGAAGCCGGGAGGGCAGACGCAGGAGGUGGAGAAGCUGCCGUUCGGGAGGCAGAUGGAGUUGUUACCCCUGCCGCAGGCGGCGGGGACGGUGCAGAGCUCCUGGACGGCCUGCCAGACGACCUCCCAGGGGGGGCGCAGGCUGUAGACGCGGAGGUUGCCGUCGUCGUCGAGGGUGAGGCGGCGGAGGGCGGCGGGGCGGCGCAGGUCGGACACGACGUCGGUGUUGGCGUUGUCCAUCUGGAGCUGGCCGUCGGGGGUGAGCUUCUCGAUGCCGGCGCGCUCCGUCCAGUAGCCCUUGCCGCCGUCGGAGAGGACGAGGGUGGAGCGGUUGACGAGGAGGUAGAGGCCGUUGCGGGAGCGCAGGGUGGGGUUGGACAAAGGGGCGGACUGGUUGCUCCGCGUUGGGAGCCAUGGCGAGUCCGCGGAAGUGAAGGUCGAGGUAGAAUUGGAAAUGGAAAUGGCGGAGGAGAAGAGAUAUGGGACGAGGAGGAAGAAGAGGAGGAAGAGGAAGGAGAGAGGAGAAGGAGGAGGAGAAGUCAUGCCCAUAUGGAUGAUGGAUGCCUUGGAUUAACUAAUUGCGAUGUGAAGAAUAAAUAAUAUUAGAGUCAUCUGGCUGCGUGAGACUCGUCCAGCUAGUCUUAUCAUUUUUUUUUUUUUUUUUUGGAUAACUUAGCCUGCCAUUCAUCAAUCAAGAGUCAAGACUCAUAUGAUAGUUUCAGUUUACCAAAAUUAUAAUCCGUUGAAUCAAAAUUACUGACUCAAAAUACUUAUAUCAAGUUAUUAUUAUUACUAGAAUAGAAUCCUCUUUUAUAUUUAAUGAUAAUUUUAUUCUCAUCUGAUGUGAAAUUAUUCUUCGAAUGCUACGACUAUACAGUUGAUAGUACCAAACGCUUGGUUUUAUCGAAUUUUCUACGGUUAGAUCUAUCUUUCUGAUCAUUUUCACUUGUUAGGUCAUACCAUUCAACCAACUACCCACUCAAUUCUAGAAAAUACUAUUUUUCUAAUCGAGAAUUACUACUAUCCUAACCGCAUAUUCUUUUUUCUAACAACCGAACCCACCUAAUAGCGUCAAUGACUUGUUACUACUAAUAGUACAGUGACCUAGUUCUUAUUUUUAUAUAAAUGAUGCGUCAAUAUUUAGUCAGCUGAUUUAGAUUGUAACACUUAAUUACAAUACAUCUAAAAUCUUAAGUCAGAAAUUAUCAAAAAUUAAAAUUUGAGAACCAAACGUGUAAUUUAUCCUAAUCUAAUUUAGUUGAUUAAAUACUGAUAUAAUACUAACAUAAAAAUAAUAUAAUAACAAUCGAUAAUUAAUAAUGCGAUAAUAGUUAAAAUAUAAUAUCACUUUUUUAUGAGCAACAUGUUAAUAUAGUCUGCCAAAUUAAACUUUAAAAAUUAUAAUAAAUAAAAAUUCUCGGUGGGACGAGAGGAUGGUCAACGGAGAAUAGUAAAAUGAGGUGUUUUUUUAAAUUUUUUAUAUAUAUUUAUUUUAUUAUAUUUAUUAUUUAUUAUAAAUAUUUUUGAGUGGUUAGUAAUAGGGUUUGAAUGAUGGGAUUGGAUAUUUAACGAUCUCCUGGGACCCAUGACGUGCAAACGAGACCAUUGACUCUGAUUUUUUUUUUUUUUAAUACUUAUAUUUUAUUUCCCCCUCUAUAUUCUAAAAUAUUAUAUUAUUAUUAUUAUUAUUAUUAUUAUUAUUAAAUUAUUUAUUAUUUUAAUUAUUUUUUGACUUAAAAGUGACAAAUUUUCCAAAAUAACGCAAUUGAUUUUGACCCCCACUUUGGUCCAAAAUCAAAUAACAAAAAGAGUGAGAAAAAAUAAAAUAUGAACUCAUCUCUUAUACUUUUUAACUUUUACGUCAUUUAUUUUUUAUCAAAUAAAUAGUAAAAUAAGUGGAACUUCAAUUUCACAAUUAUACAAACAAACAACGAUAAGAAAAUAAAUUUUAUCUGCGCUGUAACUCAGUGAAAAGCCUACUUUAAUUUGAACUUGACCUACGAAACAAAUUAGUUCCUAAUAUACACAUAUAUCAAUGCUACAUUAUCCAUUUGAAUAAUAUUUUUAUUUAUCAUUGAGAAUUAAAUAAUAAAAUUAAAAAUAUCAGUUUGACAAAGAAUUGACCGAAUAAAAUAAUAAUUUUUCUUUCAGAGUAAACUAUAAUAUAAUAUUUUAAAAUUUAAAGCCUAAAAUAAAAAGAAAAUAGCAAAGUUUUAGGGGUUAGGAUAUUACGUGAGUAUCAUUUAUAACUUUAAAAUAUCAUAAUAAAAAGAAAAUAUAUUCUUGUAAAUGUUAAAAAUUUAUAAAUAUAUUCGUAGACUUGUCAAAUGUCGUGAAAAUUUUUUAUUUUAGAAAAGGACUCUUUUGUCUGUAUCUCAAUCCUCACAGCUGUUAAUUUUUUUAAAAAUAAUCAUCUUAUAUUAAAAUAAUAUAAUAUUAGAGUAGAACUUAAGAGUCAUUGUCGCUAAUUAUUAAUUCAAAAAUUUUAUGUUAUUAAAAAUAUACAAUUAAUUCACCUAAAGCGUACAAUAUAAUUAUUACGAAGUUUAAUUAUGACUCGACCCAACCAAUUUCAUGCCAUUUCGAACACGAUUUGACCCAACUCAAAUUUUUGCUAUUUUGAAUAUAACUCGAUCUAAUCUGUCAUCUCGUUAUAGGAUAGGAUACUAACCCUCCUUUAAGCUGUAUUAAGUUUGAAUUUUGUCCGACCUUUUGCUUAAUUUAAUAUUUUUUUAAUUAGUUUUUCGAUGUUAGACGUGACACCGUUGAUUGGAGGAGAAAGAAAAAAAAAUCAUGAAAUAAUAAUUAUUGAGUUAGAUUACAGAAAACAUCCUUAUAAAUAUAUAUUUUUUUAUUUUUUCUUUCUAAUUUUUAAAAAUUUAUAUUUAUUUUUUCAACAUUUCAUGUGACACCGUUGAUUGGGUAUAAAUUAAAAAAAAAUCAUGAAAUAAUAAUUAUUGAGUUAGAUUACAGAAAACAUCCUUAUAAAUAUAUAUUUUUUUAUUUUUUCUUUCUAAUUUUUAAAAAUUUAUAUUUAUUUUUUCAACAUUUCAUGUUGUUGUAUUUAGUCCUCUCUGUCAGCAUUUCAUUAUUAUUCUGUUCAUUUUUUUUAAUUUAUACCAAAAAUAUUUUUUAAAAUAAUAUAAAUAUAUUAAAAAUUAUUUUUUUUACAAAAUAAUAAGAAUAAUUUAAUUAUUUUGCCCUCUCUACUGACACCGUACUCCCCUAAAACAACUUUUGAAAUUAAAAAAAAGUAAAAUAUAAACUUUUAAAGUCAAAGAGGCGAAAGUGAAAUAGACGAAUAAUUAUAAGAAAAUUUUGGAGGAACUCAAAAUAUUUUUUUAUUUGAAAAUUAGUUUCCUCUAUAAUAGUCAUCAGUCAAAAGAAUAAUAGUGGAUUGAUGGGUUGAUGGAUUAGACUAAUUAAAGACUUUCCUAACCUAGGAGGUAAAGACUUUGACCAUGGACUUAAUUGGGUCUAAAUUGGGGUGACAUCACUCUGGUUGGUAUUGAGACCUAUCUAAUGUUAUUAGAUAAAAUGAAGUUAAGAAAAAAAUAUAUAAGAAUAUGUUUCUGUGUUUUUUGGUGGGACCGCAGAAAAUAUAUAGUAACCGACUCAUCGCGAUAUGCGGAAUGGAAUAUUACGUACAGAAACAAACAAAGUAUUUUUCCAACAUACUUUCUUAUCACACGUAACGCAAUCUCUCCACAAUCCCAAACCAUUCUUAUCACACGUAACGCAAUCUCUCCACAAUCCCAAACAAAGCCUCAGUUCAGUUCAGUUUUUAUAAUUUUUUUUAAAAAAAUAUUUUUACUUUAGUAUUUUGUGAUUUAAAGUGUAUCACUAUCGUAUCCUGUGAUUUAAUUUUUCUCUUUUUGUUAUCCCUUUAAUGUAAAAAUUCUAAUUUCUUUUGCUAAAAUCACUUAAUUUUAAAAAAAUAAAAUAAAAGUCGAGAGGUCUCAACAAAAAGGGAGUACAAUUGAGUGGCCUAUUUUAGAAUUGUUUAUAGUAGAGGGGUCUCCAUACGUUUUUAUCGAACCCAAUUUUUUCUUUGUUACGUGUUCGCAAUCAAAAGCCACAGCAUUAUAGAUGCUGACUCAUUAAUAAUAUAUCAGUAUAAUUUUUACUCAGAAAAUUUAUGUAGUCCGAUGCGAAUCAGUUUAAGUUGAAAAUUCAAUGACACGAAAGUACGAAACCCUGAGUUAACCAGAAUGCGAGAAAUCGGUUACUCAGGUUGAUGAUCCGAACCACGUAAAAUCCAAAGAAGGCCUAACUCGAUGGGUUAUGAAUGGGUCAGGCUUUGGGUAUUAAAAUUAUAAUUUUGAAUCUGUGCCGGGUUUAAAAAUUUUUGGACCUAUUAUUAAGAAUAUAUAUUGACAUAUAUGACAAUAUGUUAUACAUACAACUAAAUAUCUAGUUUUCAUAUGAUGAUAUAUUAUAAGUAGUAUUAGUAUGUAGAGUUAUACGCAUCACUGAAUAUAUAUCAGUCCGGCUAAGAUACUAUCGAUAGCACCAAAGGUUUGAUGCUAUCGAGUUUUCCACCCUUAGAUUUAACCCUUUGAUUAUUUUUACCCGUUAGAUUAUGCUUUUCAACCAACCACCCACUCAACGCUAGGGGACCCUCAUCAUCAUAACUGUACAUUUCUCAAUCCAAGGGCUAAAAAACUAAUAGCAUCAAUAACUUGUUACUAUUGAUAGUAUUUCAGUCUAGUUUAAUGUGUACUACGCAUUAUAUUAUAUGCAUUACAACUUUUGAUGCUAUGAAAUUUUGAGAUUCAGUUGAAUAUUGAUGAUGCUUUAGAGGUAAGCUAAAUUUUUGAUGUGAUCAAAUUCCAGUUUUAAACGUUUAAAAAUAGAUAUUUUUAUUUCAAUUUAAUAUAACAAAAAUGUAUAUGCGCCAAAUGCAUGUGGGCGCCUAAACAAAGCCCGAUGAGCAUUCGGCAUUGGGCUUGGGUUUGGAACCGGCGUUAAUUUUUUAAAAAAAAAGUUGGGUAAAAGUUCGACCCGAAGCCCAAUAUUUUUUAGAUCAAACUUGCGUGUAGUAUGACCCGACCCAAACCCGAUCAAGGUCAGCCCCUAUUUAUAAAUAAUAUAAAAAUUUUUACUUAUUUUCCUCCGACUACUAUUCAAAGUUUUUAAAUAUAUUCUGAAAUUAUCAAAAUACCCUUAUAAAUCUCAAAUCUCAUUAGUAAAUUCUAGAGGUUUUGGAAUAUUUGAAGAGAUUUCUAAAAAUCAUUAAGGCAUUUUAAUCGACCAAGAUUAUAUUAGAUAUUUCUGAAGUUUUGAAGUGUAUAUUAGAUAUUAUUCAAAUAAUUAUAUAAUAAGUAACAUUUAUAUUUACAAAAGAUUUUUUAAAAAUCUAGCUUAUAAUUUAAAAAAUGACAAAAAAAAAAAUCAUCCGAAUAAUGUAAUUGCGCUACUAAUAUCAUCUCGAAAGCGAGUUACGUGCAACGAAAAAUAGAUUAUUUGGAUGGGUUAGUGUCAUUUUCAAAAUUUAAGUGCAAAGACGAAAUAGCCAGAAAACGUUUUGGAGCAUUCGUUCUUCAAUGCUAUAAAAGAAUAGUAAAAAUAAUUUCAGAAAAAAAAAAAAAAUCAGUUCACAGUAUAAUUUACGCCAUGUAUAUAUUCGAGCUAUAUCGAGCUAAACUCGAGAUAGCUGAUUCUAACUAGCGUUCGGCUCGUUUAUUAAACGAGCGAUCAAUCUCAUGCUCAUUUCAAGCGGAACACGAACUGACUCGCAAACAGCGAGCGGGAUUAAGAGCUCCGCCUUAUAUGGAUGUAUUUACAAUUUUAUUGAUUUGUAGGGUUAUAACAAAAAAUGCCAUUAACCAUUAUUAUUAUUAUUAUUAUUAUUAUUAUUAUUGUUAUAUUUUUGGGUAAGCUUCAAAUACCACCCUCUGAUGUGAUUUUGAGCUUUCUUACUUUACUACCGUAUGAUUUAAAGUGUAUUAAGUUAGUGUUUUGUUGUUUCAUUUUUAUCUUUUCUUUAGUUUUUUCGUUAAUAUUUCGUUAAAUUAUAUACAAAAAAAUUUUAAAUAUCCCAUCUAGAUUUAUCAAAAAUUUUCACUUUAGUACCCAUUAGUUUUAACUUUAUUACUUAUUUAUAACAAAAAAAAAUUAGUGGAAUCGAUAAUAAAAAGAUAAAAAUAAAACCACUGGUCACUAAAUUGAUACACUUUAAACUACAGGGUACUAAAGUGAGAACGUGUGAAACCACGGAGUGGUAUUUGAAGUUUUCUCUAUAUUUUUUUAGUUUUGCGCUUUUGUGAACUCGGUCCAUAGACCGUGGUCCACGCAACAAACUUCUUCAUUCCCGCCGUAAAUUGCGCGGUAGUGUCGAAAUUUAUUGUGGGCCCCACAAGAGAACCUCGUCCAAUGGGACCACGCGGAGUUGCUUAGCUGGCGUUCGCUCAGUGGUCCUGGCUUUUUCCCAGAGGUGGGGCCCACGCACGCGCCAGCCAAUCGGCGUCACGCGUUCGCGUAGUCAGAGUGUUUUAGGCUUUUGCUUAGGUGGCGUUUCGUAAAACGAAUCAAAAUUUUGAUAUAAAAAAUAUUAUUUAUUUAAGAUAAAAUAUUUUUUAAUACAUUUUUAAGAAUUUAGGGAAAAUUAAAAAUUUUGUUUUUUGUUUUUUUUUUUUUUGAAAAAUGAAAAAUUAAGCUACCUAAAUUUUUUUUUUCUCCAAAACCGGACAAAUAUAGUUUUUUUUCUUGUAACCAAAUAAAAUUCGAUGAAAAACUAAUUUUUGUUCUACAAAUUAAAUACAUAUAAAAUUUUUUUCCACCGGAAAUUAUUUUUCACAAUUUUACGUUGAACCAAACGGACCCUUUUAUCUAUAAUUAUUUUUCAUAUUAAAAAUAAAUAUUACUUAAAUAGAAGCGGAAUUACAGGCAAAUUUAAUUUACGAGAAAUUUAACAACAAAAUUUAAUAUUUUGUGGUUAAAAAUAAUUUCAAUCUACUUCACUUUUGAUGAAAUAAGCAUCCCCUUAGGGUAUGUUGAUGAAAACCUUUUUAAUAUGAAAAAUAAUUAUAGAUAAAAGGGUCCGUUUGGUUCAACGUAAAAUUGUGAAAAAUAAUUUCCGGUGGAAAAAAAUUUUAUAUGUAUUNAAUAUUUUGUGGUUAAAAAUAAUUUCAAUCUACUUCACUUUUGAUGAAAUAAGCAUCCCCUUAGGGUAUGUUGAUGAAAACCUUUUUAAUAUGAACAUUUUUUUUAAUUAAGAGGUAAAAAUUUAAUUUUUACUGUUUGAAAAUUCUGACGUUUAUAAUUUGGUAGGACAAUAUUUUUUAUCUCUGAGAUAAUUUAUCUUAUUUCAAAAAAGACCGAAUAUGCUAUUUUAUUUUAGACGUUUAAUCUAACUUCUAAUUUUCGAUCACAAUAAAACUAUUUUUAUACUGAACAGAAUAUUACUGAAUAACUUAUUCUGACAUCCAAAUAGAGCUUGUCAGAAUAAGGCUAAAUUUUACUUUUAUUUUCAAAUAAUGAGGCGAGUGAUAUUUUGGAUCUCAAACUUUAAUUUAUUUUAAUUUAUGGCUCAAGUUUUUUAGAUUAUCAUAAUUAAAUCAUACAAUUUAAUUUAGUUGAUUAAAUAUGUUUUUGUUUGAUAUAAUAAUGACGUGUUAUUUUAUUCAUUGCCAUAUUACUAGUUACAAUACAGUCACAUUAGUGACACAUUGUCAUUCAAUCAACUUAAUAGCAGCGUGAGAUUUAAUUACAGUAACUUUAAAAAUUAGAGUCAGAAAUUAUGAGGAAUUAUAAUUCAGGGAUCAAAAUACCACAUAUCUUAGAGUUUUAGGGCCAAAAUUUAUGAUUUAGCCUAUUUGUAAUAAUUUACUUAUAACAUACUUGAGGGUCAAUAUUAGUUCGCGAAAUGGAGUUGGGACGAAUUAUUUAGAAUUUUUUGCAUUAUUUUUCUAUGGGACUGUAAAAAAAUAUUUUUUAAUUAAUUAAGUACGAUAUGGAUAUCUAAUAUUAACAAGCAUGAAAUUAAUUAUUUCAAUCCAAAAAGUACUAUAAAAACUUGUGAAAAAAAAUUAAAAAAAAAAAAAAAGAGAUUAUGGGAGAGGGACACUCUGAAAUGUGACAAGGGGCUUGGAAUAGCAAGCCCAAUUCCCAAGAUGGUGACAUCUAAUAACAAGCUACAAGUUCUUAAUCACAUGAUAAUUAUUAAUUAUAAGCACAUGAAAACCCCAUUUCUCAAGGUUGUCACAUGUAGUGGGUAAUCACAUGUUAUUUAACACUCUUGAUACAACCAAUAAAUGCAUGAGAAAUUUUUCAUAAAAUUAUACUUAAUUAUUGUGUUGUUAUUGUAUGAUGAAUGAUUAAAAAAAAAAAAAAAAGGUAAACUUCAAAUAUCACUCCUGUGAUUUCGCACUUUCUCACUUUUAGUGCCCUAUAGUUUAAAGUGUAUCAAGUUAGUGUACUGUGGUUUCAUUUUUAUCUUUUCGUCAGCUUUGUCGUUAAUAUUUCGUUAAAUUAUAUACGAAAAACUAAAGAUACUCCAUUUAGAUUUAUCGAAUAUUAACUUUAGUACCCUUUCGUUUUGACUGUCACUGAUUUAACGAAAAAAUUAGUGGAAUCAAUAAUGAAAAGAUAAAAAUAAAACCACAGGAUACUAAAUUAAUACACUUUAAACCAUAGAGUAUUAAAAUGAGAAAGUAUGAAACCACAUAGCUGGUAUUUGAAGUUUUUUCUUAAAAAAAAUUAUGCUCAACUGUUCUAUGAUAAUUAAAAAAAUUUUACUUUACUAUUAUAUUUGAUAGUAAAUUUUUUUGAGUAAGAGUAAAAAUAAAAUCACAAAUAGUUAUAUAAAAUUUUUUGAACUAUAAAGUGGCAAGCAAAAAGAAGCUUAAUUAUAGGGAGCAAAUUGAAGUUUAUUGUUUUUUAAUUAUGGAAAAUGAUUUGGGUUAUCUAUCAAAUCUAUCAUAUGCAAUGAUUCCUAACAUUUGCUGUUAUCCUAUUUGCAUUAGGUGGCAUCUCAAACCUUUUUGAUUACAGUUAUUAUUAUUUCCUUUUUUUUAAAGUAGGAUAAACUUUCCAUAUGUGCUCAAAAUUUAGGGUUUAGAAGAGAUUUUUUUAGAGGUGUGGAGUCUACAUCCAAGUCAUUAAAACAAUAAUAAAAUAUUUUGUAAUAUUUGACUGAUGCGGCAUUUUUUAAAAUACCGAAUUUAUAGGCUGUUGAUGAGCUGACAUACAUAAUUUGAUUUAGAAGUCAUAUGAUCAUCUUAGUUUCGUAGAAUCGUGAAUUCAAAUCCUCAUUACAAAUAUUUGAUGGAUUAAAAUUCCAAUAGAUUAAAUCAUAAUAUCUUAGCUUAGCUAUCAUUAGCUCUACAUAUCUUUCACAUCUAUCAUGCAUAUGAAUAUUGGUGUUAAAUGCAAUUUUUGAACUAUUUUUUAUUAAUGUCUAUACAUUUUUUGAUUCUAGAAAAUUUAAAAAUCACUACUAAUUUCUUAAAAUAAUUCUACUUAAUCAGCACUUCUGCAAAAACUCUGUCUGACGAAAUUUAAAAUUUACUCACAUCAAAAGGAAAUUAUUAUUGUUAUUAUUAUUUUUCAAGUAUGUCUCAUCAUUAGGCAAUGAACAAUACAAAGUCUAAAGUAAAUGGGGUACAAGGACAUUAAAACAUAGAGAAGAUCAAGUGGCUUAACUAAGAUCAUCAUACAACAUACAUAAAGAAGUUAAAAAGAAAAUAAUAAAAAGAGAGAGAAAAAGAAAAAGGAAAAGGAAAAAAAAACCAACAACAACAACAACAACAACAACAACCAAAACCAAACCAAGAGGAGCAUCUAGAGGGAAUGAACAAAACCUCACUCAACAACCCAUAAAUAGUACAUUCCAUUCUCUCUCUCUUUUUCUUCUUUUUUUCACUUAGACUACCUCCCAUCCGCCGACGUAAACGAGUCGGCGAACCCCGGCGGCCGUGUCGGUAUGCUCGUCUGCGUGUUGUCCAGGCUGGCGAGGAACGACGACGACGAUGUGGCGCCGUCGAUGUAGCUGCUGGUGCCGCCGUUCUCGAAUGCCUGCCACUUCUUGAGCGCCUGCGGGAGCGUCAUGUCUAGGUCGAUGCCGUAGCUGUCCUGGUCGGAGUCGGGGUCGGACGGUUUCCACAGCUCCGCGAGGGUCGAGAGCACGUUGACCGCGUGGCCCAUGUCGGGCCGCUGGUGCGGCUCGCGCGCGCAGCAGUGGCCCGCCAGCUCGGCCACCGUGCUGACGCUCGCGAGGGUCUCCCCGUCGGAGACGUCGAUGGUGGGGUCGAUGGCCUUGCGGAAGGUGUCCUUGUUGAGCUGCAUUCGGCGGAACCAGGUGACCAGGUGGACGCUCUCCUCCGGUUGCGUCUCGUCCAACGCCUUUCGGCCGGUGAUUAGCUCCAUUAGAAUCACGCCGAAGCUGAACACAUCGGCUUUCGUCGUCACCCGGCCAGUAACUGCAAAAGAAGUGAUAUUCAAGUACAAUUAGGGUUUGCUUAGAUUGUAACACUUUUUUUUUAUCAUCUUAACAUUGUUUUCUUGAUGUUAACAGUUGAAACCCACUGUUGAUAUUUAGCCUGUCAUUGUCAUGUAGAUAUAUAUAUAAAACAAUAAAAGAAACUGAUAAGAUUAAGCAACUGUCACUUUCUUUUAUGGCGUUUUCCGACAAAUCUCAUUAUAUUGUAACAUGAAAAUAUAUGACAAUAUCAUGUUUACAGCUUCAAAACAUUGAAUUUCAUGUCGACACUCGUAUAUCAUUUAUUUCAUCAUCAGUGUGUCAGAUAAAGUCUAUACAAUGUAAAGCAACAAAUGAAGAAGCUAAAUCUGUCUAUGUUGAACAUUUUCCGAUUAGCGUAUUCGCUAUUUUACUUUUGAAGCAAUCAAUCAGAGAAUCGCAUAUAUUACUCAUCGUGAAGUUAAAAACAUAUCUAGCAGCAGCAGGUGAGAGAGAGAGAGAAGAAUAGCAUAAAAACAGGGAAACUGGAGACAAGAAUAGCUUUACAUCUAAUUUUACAUCCUACAUUAACUGCGAUAAUAAAUGAUUCUACAGUGUUAACAGAAAUAAAUUUGGAUGCAAUAAGGUCUUGUUUAGAUGUCCGAGUAAGUUAUUCUAAGAUAAUUUAUUCAGUAUGACGCCGAAAGGUGAAGUUCAAUUCUUACUCCUUUAAAGGCUUUGGCAUCCACGAUUCGGCAAGAAAGCAUAUUGUGAUUUAUCUUAUUCUGGAAAAAUGACUUCAAAGAUGCUAUUCCAUUUUAGACAUUUCGCCAUAUUCGUAGCUUCCGAUUAUAAUAGAAAAUCCUUGUACCAAAUAGGAUAUCACUGGAAAACUUAUUCCGACAUUCAAACAGGACCUAAAAGGAUCACACAAUUCCACGGUUGAUUGGAAUAGUAGUAUUUUGGUUAUCUUAGCAUAAUCUAAUUUGAGCACAACAAUUAUGUCUAACUGUUUAAACCUGCAUUCGACACAAUAAGUAAGAUAACCCAAGUAACUUAACCUGUACUACUAUUUCCCAACCAAUAAUCCACAACCUUAACUAGAGCACGAAUAUACUCAAAUUACCACCAUUAGGAUGUAAGGAAUCUAGAAAGAUCACCUGCAUACUCUGGCGCGAGAUACCCGAAAGUCCCGGCCAGCCUGGUCUCAACAGAACAGCACUUCCCAUCAGCAGGAGCGAGCCGGACCAGCCCGAAAUCGGCGACCUUGGCCUUCAUAUCAUCUCCGAGUAGUAUAUUCGACGGCUUCAGAUCCCUGUGGAUGAAGCUCUGAUGCGCCAAACUAUGAAGAUACUCCACGCCUCUCGCCACGUCCAACGCGAUGCUCAAUCGCUUCUUCCACUCCAACGGCUUCAGCCCUUCCUCCUUCCAAUCAAACAGGUGGCGGCUCAGCGUCCCCUGCGGCAUGUACUCGUAGACCAAGAGCCUCUCGUUGCCGUCCAAGCAAUACCUGUUGAUGUAAGGCAUUUAGAACACUAUCACAUCACAACUUAAGCUGAGCUUUUAGAGGAGAACGGUCGAUUCGUAUAUGCAAAUACCCGAGAAGAGAGACCAAGUUACGGUGCCGGACUUUGGUUAGAACCGCGAUCUCCGACUUGAACUCGUUCAAGCCCUUGGUGCCCAUCGCGCCGGCCGCCUCCAUUCUCUUGACGGCGAUCUUGGUUCCGUCGUGGAGCUCGCCCUUGUAGACGGUUCCGAAUCCGCCGCGGCCCAAGAUGUUCUCCUCGCUGAAGUUGUUCGUCACGUUCCGGAGCACUUGAAUGGAGAUGACCAUGUUCCCUGCCUCGACCUUACGAUUGCGAAUUCGAUCACACGUUUAGCAUUCUCAUUAUCAUUUUCUACUCUAAUGCAUUGAUUGUUCAAUUGUAAAGCCUAGCCAUACUCACAACGUGGACGUCGCUCGGACCGCUGCUGCUCGUGCGGCUGUGGGUGUCGCUCGCCGGCCCCGCCCCGCCAUUGGGGGCGGCCACGGUGAUCUUGACGACAUCGGGAUCGGACCCUGAGUGGCGCGGGUGGAUCACCGUCGUGUUCGGGCUCUGCACCCUGCUGAACCGCUGCUCCUUUCGCUUGUAGUAGCAGAACCCCAGCACACCGGCCAAGCUAAGGGCCGCAACCGCCGCGACUACCGAACCAACGAUGACCCCCACCGAAGAAGACGAUGGCCUCCGGCUAUCGACACCAUCACCACUGCCCGGUGAGCCCGACGUGUUCGACCCAUUGCCGCCGCCGCCGCCGCCGUCGUUAGAGCCAGCUCCGGAGCUCGAAUUCCCCGCCCCCGGAGCGGGGCCGUCCUCUCCGAUAUUCGGAUUCCCCGCGGUGUUCACCAGCACGUUCUUGCGAAACGCGGGCACCGGCCCCCAGAGCGAGUUAUUGGCCACGUCCAAUUCCUUGAGCGCCGGCGAAUUCGCGAGCUCCGCGGGGAUGGUCCCGGAGAUGUUGUUGUUCGACAGAAGCAGCCGCUGCAGCGAGGGGAACUUGGCGAAAUCCGGCGAUAUCGUCCCGGAGAGCCCCAUCCGCUGGAAGCUGAUCACCGUGACGUUCCCCGCGGCGUCGCAGCUGACGCCAAUCCAGUUCCCGGCGCACGGGUCGUUGCCCUUCCAAUUCUGCGCGAAGCGCACCGGGUACCCGAACGACCGGGCGACGGACAGCAGGAGGUCCACGCGGGGGUCGCAGUCGCCGGGGGCGUCGCGGCAGAAGCUCUCGCUGGAGACGACGAGGUCGAGGUCGGCGACGGUGGGGGGGAAGACGGGGACGGGGCCCUGGAGGAGGUUGUUGGUGAGGGUGAGCUUGGCGAGCGAGGGGAGCGCGGUCAAGGCGCUCGGGACAAUGCCGGUGAGGCGGUUGUCGCGGAGUUGGAGGUCGCGGAGGUCGGCGAGGGCGGAGAGGUCGUCGGGGAGGGGGCCGGAGAAGUCGUUGGAGUGGAGCCAGAGCUGCUGGAGGGAGGAGAGGUUGGCGAGGAAGGAGACGGGGCCGGAGAGGCGGGAGGGGCCGAGCUGGUUGUUGAGCCAGAGGGAGCGGAACGGGGCGGAGGCGGAGGCGGAGGCGAAGGAGGAGGGGACGGGGCCGGAGAGGGAGUUGAAGGCGAGGGCGAGGUGGGAGAGGGAGGGGAAUGCGGAGGCGAGGAAGGAGGGGAGGGGGCCGGAGAGGUUGGCGGAGUUGGCGGAGAAGUUGACGAGGGCGGCGGCGUCGCGGAGGGAGGCGGGGAGCUGCCAGGCGGAGAAGGGGUUGUUGUCGAGGGAGACGGCGGAGAGGGAGGAGAGGCCGGAGAAGAAGUCGGGGGGGAGGGAGGAGAAGCGGUUGGAGUGGAGGAGGAGGACUUGGAGGGAGGAGAGAGCGGGCGGGGAGAGGGAGGGGAGGGGCCCGGAGAGGAGGUUGGAGUGGAGCUCGAGGCGGGUGAGGGAGGAGAGGUUGCGGACGGCCGGGGGGAGGGAGCCGGAGAGGGAGCGGUUGCCGGCCUGGAUGGCGACGACGCGGCCGUCGGGCGAGCAGGACACGCCGGGCCAGCUGCCGG
RNAcentral lists this long non-coding RNA (57731 nucleotides) under Ananas comosus (pineapple). RNAcentral's name for it is "long non-coding RNA (ACOM_LNC023681)". The stretch from base 13053 to 13123 matches the Rfam family "tRNA". Lineage: Eukaryota; Viridiplantae; Streptophyta; Magnoliopsida; Poales; Bromeliaceae. The record is from RNAcentral.